This 47213-nucleotide long non-coding RNA is filed under the name Triticum aestivum (bread wheat). RNAcentral's name for it is "long non-coding RNA (TAES_LNC023396)". Lineage: Eukaryota; Viridiplantae; Streptophyta; Magnoliopsida; Poales; Poaceae. The record is from RNAcentral.
AAAAAAAACCUGACUAGCUUGGAUGGAUGUCUUAGAGGGAUUCAGUAGGAGCUAGUGGAGCUUCAUGUUCAUUUUCUGAAAAAACAUUGGCUAUCAUUUAUAUAUGAAUAAGAUCCUUCCACCAGCUCCCAUGGGAUUCAUCUAACACAUCCAUCUAAGAUUCGACAAAUAUUCGAGUUUUCUAUUUUUGCACACUAACAGGUUCUUCCAUAACGCAAUCAUGUGGAUCAUUGUGUCACAUAUAAAUUAUUUCUCCGUUGAUUACCACAAGACAUACCACUAGUUACUUUUGACUUUCAUUUAUAAAGACUUAAUUAUGAAACAGCCAUCUUCAUCACUUGCAAAUAUUUAAAUUGGAAAUCAUAUUUCUCACUAACUUGCUCUUGGAAUUUGGACUUCUUUGAAUCUGGAAAAUUAACUUUGUCAUAGUUGUGGAGAGGGAAGGAUUUUUUUUCCAUCCGCCGUGAUAGCCACUAGGGUAGCAACACAAGAAGAAGGUGUCAACCCGACACUCCCCAAACCCACUAGUUUCUAAAAACAAAAAUACUAAGCAAACGUGUAGCCAAAAUACCACCUCUUAUAUACCUCUAAGAGUUAAUUUGAUCCGCUCUAUGUAAUCAAAUAAAGAUAGACAUUUUCAAUUAUAUUUAUCCGAUCUGCAUGUAGUUUCGUUGAUCCAGUAUGUUCACAUCAACUAUGGUGAAACAAUCGGUUGACACACAGAAGAGAAGACCUCAGAGAGUAGCAAGCAGCGACUUCAAGUUGUCUUCAUAAUUUGGAAGCUCGCUACUUGAACACAUCAAUCUGUUCAAUUGUUUCUUGGCCAGCCUCCAUUUGCCGCAUCUCAGUCCCGAUGGUGUUAGAGAUUAACAUCCCUGAUGCAUCCCAUACCUAUCAUAUUUGCAAGAAAAUGGAAAAAAUUAAGUACAUAGCUAGUAGUCUAACAUCAAACUGGACACAUCUCUACGACAUUAAUUUGUAGUACACGCUCAGAAGCUAGAGCCCAUCUGUUACAUACAUUUUAAACAUUUCAAUGAGUGGCAUAUUGUAAUAGCUAGCUAUGUAUAUAUCCAUCUACCUAGAUUCAUUCAAUGCAGCAUGGUUUGAAUAAAGUGUUAUUACCACCGUUUAUCUUCUUAUAUGCAUCCUUACACUAGUAGAAAACAAUGCCUUCGUCACAGCCGGAUCGGAGCAAUAUAUAGUCCCGGCCUCGUUACGAAUCGGGACUAAUGUGAGCAUUAGUGCCGGUUCGAGCGGCGCAGGCAUCAGUCCGGUUGGAGACACCAACCAGGACAUAGUGCUCAACGUUUUACCGUGUACCUAAAUGCUAUUGUUGGGUUACACCAUUAGGAUCGAUCACAUGCAUGAUUCCAUGAACACACAACAAACAUCAUAUGGCCAAAGGCACAACAUGCACCUUGACUGUUCUCUUUAUUUGUGGCUCAAACUCCACGGUUGUACAACUUGUGCUUGCAGCACUAUACAUAUGCAUAUCUCUACAAACCUAUAAGAUGGUAUUCUUACCUGGCUUCUAGGGUAACCCAUGCGCGAUACAAUCUCCAAUAUCAGCUCUCGUCUGGGGAACAUCUAGGUCAUUCAUUUUUAAUGGUGGGUUGACUCUGUUCCACUCUAGGUUAAAUCCAUAUGCAUUCGCUCCACAAGACGCACCUUCCAAUGGGCUAGGGUCGCUACGACAAACGGUACCCCCAUCGCAUUCGUAAUUAAUUAGUGCCCAUUCCCCAAAUUUUGUUUGCCUCCUUCGCGGUGUAUCCCUCCUGCAUUGAAUCAUCAUGACCCUCUUCAGCCAUGUCCAGCUAUGACAGAUUUAGUCUUCUGGGUAGUGACCUCAGAACUGGUCAUGGAGAGCUCGGUUAGGGCCACUUGGUUAGCGUUAGUCUUUGAUGGUGUAUGAAAGGUAGGUUACUGGUCUCAUCAAUUGGAAGAGAUGUUGUGCAUUGCAACAAAUGUAUUGGGCAGUCCUUCUUGCAUGCUUCGAUGGUUGUGGAGAUUUUGGUUAUGCUAAUUGAUAUAUAGAUCUGACUGUCUGUACAUUUGGGUUAUCAUUGCAACUGGUCGAUUGAUCUGGCUCGCUUCUCUACGGUGAUUGAAAUAAGAACAUCGCUGGUGCUACAUCUGUUUUGACAUUUAAUUAGUGCCAAAAAAAUUCCCUCGUAGGAGGUUGUGGCUUGUUGAAACUACUAGGCAAAAACUUAUAGGUAGAGGCUUAGCAGUAACGCCUGCCAGAUGUGGCCGCUACUGCUAAUUAUCAGUAGGGUGGGGCGCUAAAGAGCGCUAAUUUUAUAUAGUUACCAGUAGUGCGGGUAAGCAGAAAAGCGAUGUUGGUGUGUGGUCCCUUCAGUACCCACCAGGGUACGUAUAGUAGUAGUGUGUUUUUGUGCUACCACGCUACUGCUCAAUAUUUAGCAGUAGCGCAGGUCCGGAGGCCACCGUGGCAACAUUACUUGCACUGUGGGUCCGGUUUUGCCGCGCUACUGCAGCCACCUUUCCCAAUCCCCCUGUCCCCCGCCCAUCCUCUCUCCCUCACUUUCUUCUCCCCCAUUAGUACUACCUAGCUUUGUUCUCUCUUCUCCUAUCUCUCAUCUCUCUACUGUAAUGCCCCCUCCACCAUCUCCAUUAAUGCACACAUUUUCUCUCUUACUUCCUCACUUUUCUCUCCUCCCUCCACUAGUUAGAGCUAGCCAUCUCCUUCCCCAACUAGCUAGAUCUAUCCAUUUAUUAAGUGGAACCUAUCAACUCCCCAACUAGAUCUAUUCUUCAAUAUAGUAAAGCCAUCUAGUCACCGUGCUUCUCACUCUCGAUAGCUAGGUGAGUAAAAAAAUGUGAUCUGGAAGAAUUAAUGGAAAAUAUGUAUGUGAUAUGACCGAAAUUGUACGUGUCUCAUGAAUUUCCGCCUAUAUGUUUAUUUGCCGAAUUGUGUGUGACACGAGAGUUGCUUAUGUUUUGCUGAAACGUAGAUUUAUUUCCGUUUCGGCGAAUCUCGGGCAAACUCUGUAUGUUCUUUUUAUAAGGAAGGUCAUGCUGAAUUUUUGUAUGACUUUCAUGCAUGCAUGGAUGCGUUUAUAAUCCUUCUGCUUAUUAAUUAUACCACGCAUCCGGUCAUGAAGGUUGGUGGAACAAUGGUGGAAAGAUGGUUGCGAUCCGCGGUGCACGACAUGCAUGAAAAUAACCGGAAUGAGAUUUUAUGUCCGUGUCGAAGACACAAAGAAGGAGUCUUGCUCGACCCUUUUAAGGAAGGCCGUUUGAAAGCGCACCUACUCAUGACUGGUUUCAUCGAUGGCUGUACUAGGUGGAUAAGUGAAGAUGAUGACGUCGAUGGGGAAGCCUAUGACGACAUUGGACCACACGACGAGAUGACCGAUAAUGGCGGCGGAAAAGAGGCCGGACAUGAUGGAGAAGCCGCGAACACGCUGCAGCAUUCUUUGCUACUAAGUUCAAUCCUAUGUGAUCCUCAUGUUCGAGACAAGCUUCGCAAGAAGACGACUAGCGACAAUGCAUGCUACUUCUAGAGAGGAGUCUAAGCUGGAGCAACUAGAGGUAGAAUUGAAGACUCCAUUAUAUGGUGGCUGCGUUCUAGAGAUGACCUGCUUGAGUUUCACGCUCGAACUUCUAAAGACAAAGGCUGGAAACAAAUGGACUGACAGAAGCCUCGAUGAGCUUCUCAGGUAUCUAAAGAACAUUCUCCCCGCAGGGAACUUGUGUCCUACUAGUGUCGAUGAGGAAAACAAAAUCGUAUGCCCUCUUGAUCUUCCGCACAUUAGAUACCACGCAUGCAUCAACGGUUGCAUCAUUUAUCGGAAGGAGCACGUGGAAAAAACCAACUAUCUGGUGUGCAAUGCUUCUCGAUACAAGAAAGCCGAAAGGAAAUGUCCUCAGAAAGUUGUAUGUUACUUACCUAUCACUCCCCGUUUGCAGCGUUAUUUCGUAGAUCCUAAGGAAACAGACCUCAUCUAUUGGCACGCGGAGAGGGUGCAGCCCGACGAUGGAGAUGAUCCAAAGCUGAGACACCUCGCGGAUGCAAGCCAGUGAAGAGCGUUCAACACUGAAUAUCGAUAUUUCACAGGAGAUCCAAGGGACAUUAUGCUUGGCGUGAGUACCAAUAGCAUGAAUCUGUUUGGCAACCAGAACACCAACCAUAGGAUAUGACCCGUUUUUGUAUGAAUGUACAACCUCCCCCUGGAUGCGCAUGACAACAAAGUACAUGCACAUGAGAAUGCUGAUUUAAGGGCUGAAACAGCUGGGAAAUAUAUCCGCAAAUAGGCAGAAUCCUUAUGAGACAAACUGGAUUAUAAACUAAUAGAUGACUUAUUUCGCAUCCAGAAGGAUAUUGCAACGAUCAUCAAGAAAGAAGUUAUCGAAGAGAAGGGGGUGUUCCACUAUGGCCCUAUAUCACGAGCUGACAUGUGAACUCGCAUAAGCCUACAACGUCUGGACCUGACGCCGUUCACGAAGUUCAGGUGCAUCCUCCAGGAUCUGGAUGGAUGAAACUUCGAUUGAUUGACGAUGCCGAUGAUGAUGUGUUGGUUGAACCUUUAGUUUCUCUAGCGAUAAAACUUUGGGAUGUCAAUAGUCAUGCUGAACUUGCGUAAUGCUAGUUUGUUAGCUUGGGUACGAUGACCUGCGUACAUCUAGUUUGUUGGUUUGGGUCCUAUGAACCUACCUUGAUUAAUUAUGUUUACUAUAUGUUGAAUCUAUUUGCUAACUCUUUCAUUUCGUGUUGCUCAAGUAUUUUAUGUUGCAUAUUAUUGCUGGAUUCACUUGAUGAAGAUGCAUCUCUAACAGGUACAUAGGUCAUUGAUGGCGAAGAAGUACUAUGCUGUGUACAUAGGGAGGGUUUCAGGAGUGUACGACGAGUGGCGAGAGUGUCAGGUCCAAGGAGAGGAGUUCUUGGGCAGCAGCCAUGAAGGGUUCGAUAGCAGGCAAGAAGAAGAAGCUAGUUACUUGAGGUUCACGCUAGCGCGAGAGAGGAAUCAGAACCGGCGCCUCACGACUGCAUAAUUCUGCACUUAGUCAUAGUGAUAGCUCUUCUCUUCUAUAUCAUUUUUUAGAUGGAUGGUGAUGUAGUUGCAUGUAUUCGAGACAUGACAUAACUUGUAUGGCUUUUUCAUGAUGACAAGAGACAUCAUUUGUGUUGGAUGAUGAUUAUGAUGAUGACAAGAUUUGAUGAGACUAUUUGUAUCGGUAUGAUAUGAUUAGAUUUGUAUGUGUAUCAUAUGAUGAGACUAUUGUCUGUAUGAUAUCAUAGAGUCCAUUGUAUAAAACAUGUACAAACACAGAGGAAAUAUGCUGCAGACAAAAAUUCAGAAAAUAAUAACAGUAGGGAGGGGUAUGUGUGUAGCAACAACGAGGCUUUAGGGUUCCGUGCCGUACAGUAGCGCGAGUGGCAGCGCUACUACUAGGCGUUUAACCCGCACUACUACUAGGCUUUUCCCUAGUAGUGUAAUAUUAUAGAUUUUUCUCUAGCUGGCAGCUCAGAAAUAGCGUUUGGCCUAUAGAUGUACUCAGUUAGGAUGGGACGAUAAGGUAGAGAUAAGAAAUAAUGUUUAUGUGAUAAUGCACUAUCAUGUACAUAAUUUUUAUAUAAAUUAUAAAUGUAAAAGGGAGGGAAGCAAAUUGUUCCUCCUAAAAAAAGUAGACAAAAAAAAUCACAUAUCAACGCUCUAGCAUUCAUCAUUGGAUGGCAUUAGAUAUUAGAAUUAUAUAGGAAAUUUAAGGGCAGUCCAAAAUAGUGAUCUAUUUAUAUCUUCUAAUUUUGGCAAAAAAUACAAGCUAUAUAUAAUGUAACACGCACGAUGAUUCUCUUGAAGGUUCCGCCGUGUGGUGUGUGAUUUAAUAUCUCAAACUGGGGAGUACAACCUUGAAUUUCUCGAGAAAUUUUAUCAUGGGUAUAAAUAGCGCGGUAUAUCAUUUAUAAGAGAUCCUGAGCUAAGGGACUUAGGUCCAAAGACAUGAACAAACAUUUUUAAUAGUGCGCUAUAGCACGGUUAUAGCGUGCUAAAACGAUUAGAGAGGUUCGCAACGAAGAGGCAUAGCCCGCUAUUUAAAUUAUGGAUUUUGCCAAAACCUUGUAGACAGAGGUUAUGGCAUAAAGACCUUUUUGUGCCAAUUUUAUUUAAAUGAUGUUCUUGCAACAGAAUAUUCCAGAGGGUUGCAUAACUUGUUCGUAGUAGUUAUAUUAUGGGGGGCAACCUAAAGCCUUUGAAACACUAUAUAUGUUUAGCCAAUAAGAAUCCAUAACCAAUACAGUUGAGCUAUUUGUGACCGUCAACUAAUUUUAUAGGGAUGGAUUCCCGGCUCACUGAUAUACGUGUUACAUUCAUGAGCCUGACUCAAAAAUGAGAUCCCAUGGUUUCCACUCUACUUGAGUAAGUUUCUUGGGUCCCAAGUUAUUGUUAAUUAGCUGCCCUAUUAUGUCAGAGCCGAUUCCAGUGUUUCUGUGUGCUACAAAUUAUAAUGGUAAUACGCCAACUGUCCUCCCUAUCAGGAUGCCUUCUUUCAGUAUGUCAUGUGAAAUAAAUGUUUUCUACAUAUUGCUAGAUACCUGUUUUUUGUACAGUGACUACCCAUUACAAGCGUGUAGAAAUCUGAUAGCUGACCAGUUUGGCUUCCUUUAGACCACUCAAGUCAAAGAAUACCUGCCCAUGACACCAUCAACGAAUUGCAUAACUGUAAGAAAAGCUUAUCCUAGUCUAUCCCAUGUCUAGACCAAAAUCUACUGCAGCACAAGCCAUCGAUGGUGCACCAUAAAAGAGUUAAUCCAAGUAAGAAUAUUCUUACUCUCUAGUGAAAGAAGUGAUAUUGACUUGAAGUUCGUAAUAUGUAUAUGUCUUCAGGGGAGAUGCUCCUAUGUUUCAAUUAUACUCCUAAUGCAUUACUAUGGUAAUUAUAACCCACCGUAAAAAAAUGUUAAUACCAUUGGUUAUGAAUGACUACUACAUGAAUCACCCUAGAAUGCUCAAGGAUUACCUGGCUGAGUAUGUAUAGUGCAUUAGGAGCAAAUUGAAAAUAGAGACAUUUUAUUACUUCAUCACCAAAUUUGUUGACCAUUCAGCUAUCAACUCUCAAAAUUAUGUAGCCAUUAAUUAGCUCAGGAGCACAGCCCAGACAUCCAAUCGUUUGAUAUCGACCCCCUUUUAUCUUCGACGAAUUGCUACAUCUAAUAGCACAAGACAAGUAAUCAGGCUACAUUUCUUGUCUUUGAUGAGGAUCGUCGUGAUUUUGGUUUAAAGCAACUGCAGUUUCCAUUGUGACGAGAAAUGAUUUUCCUAAUGUAUCCCAAGCCUACUAAAUAGUGUCCUAUGGCAUCAUGCAUUCAUGCAAAUCAAAUACUCUUUGCGCAAAUUUAAACUAGCCAGAAGGGCAUGCAACAAAUUGGCAACCUUGUUGCAAUGAUGUAUAAGAAUGUUGAAACAAAAGAGUGAUAAAGUUACAUAGUAUCUAAUUGAUGUGUAUUUAUCCACAACUACACACUGGCCAUGCAGAAAUUAAGUUGCACGUCUACCAUGCAUGUUAUUUUGUCAUGCCCCAUCUAUUAUAUGAACGUAAGUCGUGACAUGGGACAGCUCGGCUCAUUGUAAUAAUUAGAAAUCAUCAAUUCUAGAUUUCUACCACAUUUCGUGUGGUCCAAUAAGAUGGUAGAAUUUGUUUUAUACUCCCUCUGUAAAGAAAUAUAUGAGUGUUUAGAUCACUGCUUCAGUGAUCUAAAUGCUCUUAUAUUUCUUUACGGAGGCAGUAUUAAUUCCUACAGAAGUAGUUUAAUCUGAAACAAAAUGUCAUGUGUUUUUAAAUAGCUUGCAUGUAUGUUCUAAAAAACUGUUCAAACAAUAUAGAGAAUAUAUUAAUGUAAUGAAAAUGACAAAUACUAAUAUAUAUUUAAAAAUACAUAUGAGUCAUUUUAUUACUUCCCACUGAAUUUAUAUUCUGUUAACAUCUUGAAUUGGGCCCGCUUCAGUACCCAAACUGCAUCCAGCGAAACGUUGAACAUUCUUGUUUUUAUUUUGGAAGGAGGUGUGUGGAUGUUUGUGUGAUAGAGAACGACAAAAACUACACAUAGCCAAUAAAGCCGCAGAGUACUGCCUGUGGCUAUCGCCAGGCUUGAGGCCAUCUCCUCCGAGUUAAUUCAGACACUCGGCAUGAUCAAAGAAAAAUUAAGGUUGAAUUAGUAUUAGCGCGGGUACAGGACAGAAGCUACUGCUAAGUCCCAUAGCAGUAGCACGGGCUCAGCGUCCCACGCUGGUGUUAAUUGGGGCCCACGUGACGGCAUAGUGCAAGAAUAGUUGCAGCGGUAGGCAGGCUACACGCGCUACUGCUAUGGUCUUACUAGUAGUGCCAUUUUGGAUGACCGCGCUGCUACUAUACUUAGCCUGGUGGCCAGUGGGGGUACCACUUAUUAGCAGCGCCGUUUGCCAUGGCCGCGCUACAUGUUACCGGCUUACCUGUAGCAUGCGUCUACGACCCACGCUAUUGUUAAGUAGUAGUAGCGCAUGUCCUUUAUCCGUGCUACCGUUAAGCUUCUACCUAUAAAAUUUUCCCCAGUAGUGGAGCAUGUAGGAAUAUAACUGAAACACUUCGUAUAUCCACACUAAAAAUGACAAAACUCAUAGAGCUGCAAACCUAUUCUACAAAGCACACAAUCACUUACAUAGCGGUUGCACCUAUCGGGUGAUAGAUUUGUUUGUGCUUUUCUCAUGUCGACAAUUAUUAAGAAUAAAAUGAAUCAACAAUAUUAGAUUUUUUAUAAAGUUGCCAAUGUAUCUUUGGUAUUUACUACCAACACAAUAAUAUGAUUAUAUACGAAAUAAUGGUCAAAGAUAAACCUUUCCAAGUGAAUUGUUUUCUAAAAUAUUAUGUUUGAUGCUAUUAAGUAUAUAAAUAUAAUAAAAAAGUCAACACAAGAGAAAAAUUAGCACUUAACACUUACACAAAAUAAGGAUGAUGCCCUCGUAUUUGCGAGGGCCACCCUGCUAGUUUGCAGAAACAAAAUUUGCACAGCUCGACAUGCCUGACUCAAAAUUUGCCACCCUGCUGGUUUACAUGUGCCAAGCCUCUUGUUGAAUGCAUAUCUUCCUGUUGCAAUUUCUUUAUGAGUUUCCCAUAGCUCAAUAAAACUGAUGGUCGUGCAUCAAUAUGUUUUCUUCCUAUUAGGCUAAAUACUGGUAAUAGUUGUUUUUUGACAAGAACACCGACUUAGUCAUUGAUUAGGGGAAAACUCAAAUGGAAAUAACAGAAGCACUAAAAGUACUGUAAUUAACCUUGGGGUUGUUGGCAGAGGCUUCAAAUGUGACAAUGUCAAUCUUCAGAUGGCAACAGAUAGUUGAAAUAUGAUUUAGCUAAAUAUAAAGUUCUGAAAUCGCCAAGAUAUGCCUGACACAACAUACACGAUGUUUCUACUUAUUUUCAUGUUGCCUUAGUGGUCAAUACUCAUCCGCAGAUGUGUAUACAAGUAGCUACAUAAAAGUGGGUAUCAUUCAGAAUUUAAUCUGUUAUUUUUUGUCAAUGCUAUUGCAUUUGUUUCCCAUGUUUCAUAUUUAAUUGCAGUUGGUCUGAAAAUUCUCCAUUGCUGUUUGCCAUGAUGGCAGUCUUUGCGUUAGUCGAGGAGGGUUGUAUAAACCAUUUUGCAUAUGUUCUUGUGCAUGUGUGAAAUGUUGUCCUUUAUGUAAAGUUCAUGUUUUAUUCUGCUAGCAUUACAUGCCUCUUACAGGAGUGUAGCUUUUUGUUUAUAUAUCAGGUAUUGAGCUGUACUAACAUCUCAAUCUGGUAGUAUAGUUUAGAUUUCAUACUAAAUUUUCUUAUGAUAUACUAUAGUUGAUCGGAGCUUUGACAAGGAUUAAGGCACCAAAAUUGGAUUGACACCUCGAAGAAGUGAAUGAUGUUCGAGACUUGGUAUGAAGGUAGUGUCGCAACUAGGAUUCUAGUCGUAUGAUGCAAGGCUGCUGAGGGUGUGGAUUAAUCUCCCAGGACUUGAAAAACUAUUUGUAGCUGCUACACCUGAUAGUUCAUGUACAAUGAUGUUUAACAUUGGAACGGUUCAGGAUCUGUUUGAUCUAUGCCCCCUUCAACGUCUUUAUGAAAAUUUAGUUCGAUACAUAAAUUAGUUAGAAACAACGAGAGGGAAAACAAAGGAAAAACUGAAGAAGACAAAAGAGUCUUCCUAGAAAAAACAGGCUUCUGUUCGAUUUUUGCAGAAAAGCUGGAGGCUGGAAUGGAAACCCCGAGCUGUACAUAGCGGACAACUACAAGACAUCGGGUGCUUCUUGUUCCUCCUCUCCAUGGCAACUGUUUUGUCUUGUGUGGUCAGGGGUGAUAGAGAAGAAGCGUGGCAUUGCCGUUGAAGAUGAAUGAAUAGGAGCUACCGCUGCCGUAGCCUCAGGUUAUUGUUGGAUACCAGAUCAUUAUUGCCCCCGUCACCGUGAAGCUCCGGUAGGGUUUUGUCUUGUUUUGAUCUCUUGGUGUCUCAGGUUAUUAUUGGCUUGAUUUCGUUAAGUUUCACCCGUUUCCUUUUGUGAUAAUUGUACAGUAUGAGUCCCAACAUGUGUUUUCUGACUUUUGACCUAUAUAUUGACAAGUGCAAAUAUUGUUGUAUCACAAUUAGAGUGAUUGCAUUUAAUAAGUUGCUAACAUGGCCACAAAUACAGUAACAGACAAUUAAUACCCCCAAUAAGCGUGAAUUUUUUUUUCUCCUAUUCGUGUGAGGUUGGUUAUGUUUGAACUCCAGCAACAAAAUAGCUAAUAAAACCAAUAGCUAACAUGUUGAACUUGACUUCAUAAACAGUUUCUACAUUUAUUGUUUUAGGCACAUAAUGUUGGAGUGAUUGGUAAUUACAUAUAUUUUCUUACUUCCAAUUUCUGGAAGUAGUUAAUAAAUGGAUGAAUGCCAAUAUGCUGCACCAAUAAGCAAGUUGUAUCAGUCUAGUUUUUCGUUUUAAUGUCAGAAACUCAUUCCUCAUUUCCCGAACCUGGAGAGAGAUUGUAUCCAUAUUUGGAAUAUAGGGAUUCAAGGAUACCCCGUCCUCAAACUAAAUACUACUACUAAGUUCUACUGCCUCUGUUCCCAAAUAUUUGUUUUUCUACAGAUUUCAACAAGUGACUACAUACGAAGCAAAAUGAGUGAAUCUACACUCUAAAAUAUGAAUACAUACAUCUGUAUAUUGUAGUCCAUUUGAAAUGUCUAGGAAGACAAAUAUUUGGGAAUGGAGGGAGUAGUAUGUUAGACGAUGUCCCUCGAAAGGUAAAGUGACUGAACCUAAGAAGCAAAACAGAAAAACCCGUAUCGCUCACCAGGAUCAAUGGGUACUAGAAGGCAGCUUCUCAUAUCAUCGAAAAAAGAACCAAGUUCAUCGUUUGAACUUGACUGGGUUGCAGAAUACUUCCAUUUCUUUGUCAUGGCAGAGGAUCCUGAUGCCUCACUGACUAGCAUUUCGGUGCCAACACCUUGUUCUGGCUGCUCUGUAUCAGCAUAUGAGCCUCUGCUAUCGCAAGUUGGUCUUGUUCUGAAUCCGCAGAAUGUUCUGUAUGCUCACUUUCGUGGAUCAGUUAUCCUUAGCAACGAAACUGUCGGUCUAUUUGGAUGCUCCUCAGCAGCCUUUUCCCAAGCUUUUCUUGCCUCUGGAGUGAUACUACUAGGAUCAAGAGUGACUUCCUUUAGACACCGGAGUCGUUUGAUUUUCAUGUUAGUGACAUGAGAGAUACGACAAAGUAAGCUCCUUCAUCGAUCUUCCGUACACAACAUAAGCACGGCUAGCAGUCUUGGAAAUGGCCGAUCUCUAAUAAUGGACUCCUCAAGUUGAUCUACAAUCAGCUUGAGAUAUUGCAAGGAUCUCUACUCGGUCGUCAAAGCUUCAAGUAGACUGACGCGUUGUAAGUUCAGUUGAUGAAAGGCACAUUUCCCUGAGACUGCAUUGUUAGCAAUUUAACAAAUUGAGGCAGUUAAAGCAACUUGCUAUUUAUUUUCAGUGUUCUAAGAUAACAGGUUGCUUUUAAGUAAAUGAGGAUGUCCACUCAGCAGUGCACAUAUAAAAGUGAGGUGAAAGAGCAUGGGGCUCAUCGCUCUCCUUUUCAUCAUGAAGGAACCUUUGAAUAGCAUACUGAAGAUGACACAAGUUAGUGCUACUUGCAAUUCUCUCACCUUGGUCAAUUGUUUCAUGUGACUUAUGAUUUGUGGAUACCCUUGGCUUUCAUCAGCGACAAAUCCUGCUAGCUAGUGUCCCCAAGUUGCAUUGUCCUGACAAGAAAAAGUUGUGCAGUUCCAAAAUCUUGAACUUUCGAAACAGAUGGAUUAACGCGAGGGUGGUAGCAGGAUGACUUGUAUGGGUAGUAUCUCCACCGUGGUUUGAGUGUCUCUAGAAGCCUCAGUUUUUCUAUUCCCUUUGAAAGGCUUGAAAAAGAUUUCCCAAGGCUCAAAUAUAUUAUAAGCUGAAGGUAGUCUAUGUAUUUGAGAUGAUCAUCGCCCAAUUUCGCACAUUCUACACUUCAGAAAUUGACACUUGUGGAGAUCAAAAUUGGAAUCACCAGCCUCCCCAAAGAUUGCAAGAGACCUUGUCAUUGUUGUUGCUACAUCCAUGGGCUUGCUUGACGAUGUUCCGAUCAUGGAGCAUGUCAAAGUUGUCUUGGCAUACGAUGAAUGCUCUGAUUGUACGAAUCCUGCAGAGUCAGCAUCUAACCACUGCCUUAUCAGUCAGGCUCUUUCUCCUAACAGUAUGAUCACUUGGGAACCCACCAAAAUACAACAAGCGAGCCUUGUGAACAUGGACUGUGUGUCAGACUGGCAUAGCUAUAGGUAAGAACCCUGUUAGAGUAAUCUUGAUUAGUAAUUAGCAAGUAGGAGUCCUUGUGUCCGAUUCGAGUACUAGUUCACGUACGGGUGCUAGUCCUUGUACAGGAACAGUUUAGUACGUGUCAGGUUAUAGGUUAGUUUGGCUAGGAGAGUCUUGGUAGGAUUGGUUAGCCGUGUAAGUCUAGGAUUAUGUUGGGUCGGUGAUGGCUCCACGUGUAUAUAUAGAUACACAGGGCCUGCAACUUUGUAUCGACAGAAAACAAGAAAAGAAAUAAAGAGGAAGAGAGGCACGACACUUGCCUUUGGCAAAAAGUUUUUGCGUCUGCGUGUUUAUCGUGGUUUGAUGUGAUCGAUCCUGUGGGUGAAGUUCCAACAAACCCAUCACAUUCUUUCUAAGGCGCCUUCCUUGUCGAAAUGACGCCUAGCUGCCUCCACAGGUCAUGGCAGCCGUGGAUACUGUCGUCCAUGUUAACAAGAUCAAAUGGUUGGCCAUCAUAUUUCUUCAGAAUCUCCGCCGAAACUUGUUCCAACUGAAGCUUUCUUGAAGAACAAUUGUUUCGAGUGCUGCUUCUUAAUUACCAGGUCUUCUUACUUUGUGGACAUAGCCCUUCCUAGAGCUGCAAGCGUUAGCUACUGACUGCAUAGUGGUGGUCACCAUUACUCUUCAAUUGCACCAUUUAUCUGUUGGGGAGGAAGGCAGAUUCCAUGCUACUCCAUUGAUAUGUUUCCAUAUCAUCGUCGAUUACAAUGGAAUACAUGAAACACAUAUCAGGAAAUGAUUAUUUCAAGCUGGGAUCAUGGGUUCAGUGAGCAGUCAAAAUUCAGCAUGUUGUAUGUAGCAGAGUUAGUGAACAUAUGAGUACCAUUAAUUAAACUUACCUCUUGUUAUGCAAGUGCUCUCUGAUAUGAUAUCCACGGCAACCAAGCUCACAUCAGGGCCAUCAGACCCCAGGAGUAUCUGGACGAGUAGUACUUGUCUCGGGCCCUUGUCCGCAGCGAAUUGCUGGCAAACGUGGUUGUUAUACACCUCUCCAGCAAGCACAAUCUUCCUUGAGCCACAGAACCCGACGAUGAUGACGGAGAUCACCUUGAGCAUCGGCAAAGGGCCGAAGGCCGUGUACCUCCCUGAUAUCCUCUUUAGAAGCUGCAGCCCAACAGUCCGGAGUUAGGGUGUCGGACAACGCGGCAGAGCAACUGUGUUGGCGGGGCCUGUUCGCGAUCGCAUGCAGUGUGGUAGAUGAAGCGAUUGAUACAGUCUUCAAUGGUGCGAGCCAUCUCGCGCAGCUUUUCGAUGCUCCAUCGAUUGGCUCUGUUUAGCAUGUGCCUGCUGGAAACGUAGGCAUGUUUGCUUUUUUGGUGGGUCUCUUUUCUAGCUUGUCCGCUCUCUUUGGGUCCAUCCUUCUCAACCGCUGGCUGCCUCCUCUUUGGUACCAGCCGUCGACAACUUAUUUCUAGUCUUUCGAAGUUCAUCUUCAGAUGUUCCUUGCUUCUACAAAUUAUGCAACAUCACUUUUCUCAUGUUCAUGAGUUGAUAGUCAUGAAUACUGUCAGGAAAAAAAUCCAGGUCAUCUUAUAUCCAUAAAGUGGUGUCAGAUUUCUAGGCUGAUUGUUGAGAUUUUCAAGUUUGUUCAACUCUGGUAUCUUCUUUGCUUGUAUGAAUUUUCCCCUCUGUUGGAUUUAUGUAUUAUCUUGAUGGUAAAAUUGAACAUAUCCUCAAUCAGAAAUCUAUCAUAUACGACAUAACCAAUCUAAUAGAGUAUCAAGUUGAAUAAUAAUAGCCAAGAGAAGUUAUAAGUUUGGUCUAUCCUCGCGUCUUGAAUUGUGCAUCUAUUGUUAGUUUAUGGCUUUUUUAUGGUACAUAUUACUAUCGAGGCAUGAAAAUGAGAAAGUCUCUCACCCCUCGACCGGCGUGAGCUUGUGUGCCGGGAUCCUAGUUCAUCUCUAAGCUCUAACGGUCCUUUCCGGGCUACAUACGGGUACCCGACGGUGAGUGAGAGUAGGAAGAAGUGAAGGAAAAAGAGAUUGGAGAAGGGGGGAGGAGGAAGAAGUAUGAGGGAAUAGGUGGAGGGGAGGAAGAAGAGUAGGCAGAGAAGAAAGAAGAACAUGUAUACUGAGAUGCUCUCCCCAACUAUUGACCGUAUAUAUUAGUGGGUGAGGAAUCAUCCAGUGGCGCCAUGUUGGAGAGACGCUACAUGGAUGAAUCGUUUGAUGCUUGACUCAUAUCAGGUUUGGAGCGGCGAUAAAGGAUAGCAAUGUGAAAUCAAUUGCAGCUGCAAAUGAGACGGUUAAUUCAUGUUAUAAUGCUUUUACAGUAGAGGCGUUGUCCUUGAGGUUUGGUCUAAAUCUUGCACAUAUGAGCGGAUGCAAUAAACCUAAGACGAAUGCGGAUAAUAUAGAAGUGAUCACUACCAUGAAAGAGGGGAGUUGGUCGUUUAUUGCAAGUGCUAUUUUUGAUAACUAAUAUCUUGUGUCCUUAGACUUUAACUCGUAUAAUUUAUGAACACAGUUAUUGGGAAACCAACCAUGUUUGUGAAGCAAUUGGCAAGAUUGGCUAUAUUUUCCCCUCCUAAACUUUUGUUAGUGUCUACCCCUGAGGAAAUUGUCCCAUGCUCGUAAGCGAUGCGACAAUUCUUAUGCAUGAAUAAAGGAGGAUUGAAGUUUUAAAAAAGACAUCUUGUCUCCAACACCCAUAAUAUAUGUAAUAUUAGCGUAACCAACACAACUUUUCAUAAAAGCUUCUGACCAUUGGGCAGCUGUACCAGGCGAAUGAUCUUCAUCUGAUGGAAGUUCUGCAAGUAACUUUUUUUUUUGACCUGAAGUUCUGCAAGUAACUUGUAAUACUGCGAUCUUCAGUAUCAAGUUACAUGUGCAGGAGAAAUAGAAGGAAUAAAUACAAUUAGUCCUGCAUCUUGUCCAUUUGCAAGAACUCAAUAUGGAGUAUGGCCCAAGUCCAUAUUUUCUAAUUUGAGCAACCAGUCCAUUAAAGAGACCAUUUGAAUAAUGAUAAAAUGCAACACAAAGUCAUCACGAUCUCCCUCCCUUCCAUAUAAAGCAGGUACUGAGAUUUUCACUGAGACCAGUGAUUGGUCGCCAUAUCUUUAAGCAUAUGUUGCUUCAUAUGCACAUCAACUAUUGUAAAAAAUGAUUCUAUGUACAAUCUAGAACCAUUUCAGAUAAUAAGGUCACGCAAUUCACAUGGCUUGCCACUGAAGAGAUAAUUUGCAAUUACUCAUUACUCCUUAAUUGGAAGUACUUCAAUUAGACCAAGUUUCACAACCAUUAAUUAUGUUAGGCUCAUACGACUUCACUUCAUAAAUACGUAGAUAAUGCAUAUAUAUGACUCAAAUUAUAUUUUUGGAUGAAAAUCCAAAUAUGGAAUGAAUGUAAUAAUUGCCAGCAAUGUCCUUGUGAUAAGAACUUUCUUUGUCCUUUAUUCUCAUGUUUGAACUAGUAUAGGUCGGAGUUACACAUGAUGGUACACAAAUCACUUUUAUUUAUCAUCGGUACAUUGAACCCUCCAUUGACUAAACAACGAUGAUCCACUGGUCUAGUACUAUAACUCUUCGUUUCAUUGGCCAUUGAUGCCUAUACCACUACUCCCGAUGGUUGUUGUUGCGGAUAAGGUUGCUCAGGUUGGUGUGGCUGUAGAGGGAAUGGUUUUUGGAGUCGCUGGGGAAUUAUAUGUUCUGCUUGUUCAGGGAAUGUUUGUUGGGGUUGGGGAAAUGGUUAUUGCGGUUGAUGGGGGAACGACUACUCUAGUUGCAGAGGGAAUGGUUGUUGGGGUUGUUGGGGAAUUAUUUGUUUUGGUUGCUGGGGAAAUGGUUGUUGCGGUUGCAGGGGGAAUAGUUGUUGGGGUUGCUGGGGAAUUAUUUGUCCUGGUUGCUAGGAAAAUGGUUGUUGUGGCUGUAGAGAGAAUGGUUGUUGGGGUUGCUGGGANNNNNNNNNNNNNNNNNNNNNNNNNNNNNNNNNNNNNNNNNNNNNNNNNNNNNNNNNNNNNNNNNNNNNNNNNNNNNNNNNNNNNNNNNNNNNNNNNNNNNNNNNNNNNNNNNNNNNNNNNNNNNNNNNNNNNNNNNNNNNNNNNNNNNNNNNNNNNNNNNNNNNNNNNNNNNNNNNNNNNNNNNNNNNNNNNNNNNNNNNNNNNNNNNNNNNNNNNNNNNNNNNNNNNNNNNNNNNNNNNNNNNNNNNNNNNNNNNNNNNNNNNNNNNNNNNNNNNNNNNNNNNNNNNNNNNNNNNNNNNNNNNNNNNNNNNNNNNNNNNNNNNNNNNNNNNNNNNNNNNNNNNNNNNNNNNNNNNNNNNNNNNNNNNNNNNNNNNNNNNUGUGGUUGCAGAGAGAAUGGUUGUUGGGGUUGCUGGGGGAAUGGUUGUUGCAGUUAAAAGGGAAAUGGUUGUUGCGGUUGCUGCGUAAUUAUUUGUUCUGGUUGCUGGGGGAAUGGUUGUUGUGGUCUCUGGGGUUGCUGCGGGAAUUGUUGUUGUGGUUAUUGGGGAAUUGGUUGUUGGGGCUAGGGAAAUGGUCGUUGUGGUUGCAAGGGAAAUUGUUGUUGGGGCUGGGGAAAAGGUCGUUGUGGUUGUUGGGGUUGCCAGGGGAAUGGUCAUUGUGGUUGUAGGAGGGUUGGUUGUUGGGGUUGGGGAAAUGGUUGUUGUGGUUGAUGGGGGGAAUAUUGUUGGGGUAUGGGAAAUUGUUGUUGUUGUGAAUAUGGUUGAUGUGGAUAUGGUUGCAGCGGAUAUGAUUGUUUUUUCAGAAAUUGUUGUUGUGGUGACUGCAACUCUUGGUCGCUAGGGUUGAGAUGCCUAGCAGCAAUGACGAUGCUCAUAGGCAUGGAAAGGAGGACGAAUAUGAUGAAGGUCUUCAUUUUGGAUUUGUGCUUAAUGCUUUCUUGGAAUUGAUGUUUCUGAUCUUGGUGCUUGAAGUUUGGAUAAUGGAAGGUGACUAUGAUGGAGCAUGUGUAUUUAUAGCCGUCAUGGUGUGGUUUCAUUCAUCUUUGCAGCCGCUUUUCCAAAAAAGUGCUCGUAAGCUUAUACAACUAAUCAUAUGUUGUGUUUGGUGGCACAACUUUACUUGUGUGAUUUUGGAUUACUCAUCAUAGUUGCUUUUUGUUGCAUAUAUCAUCUGGUUGUAAGGCAUGCUCAAUAAUGACCGAUGACUCUUUUUUUCACUUUACACUACACACCUUGAUCUAUAUUUUGCCUCCCGUUGGAAUUUAGUUUGUGAUGCUCUACAUGAUGUUAGGCAUAUCCAUAUAGGCAUAGCUUAUGUGGGACUACAUUGGUAAGCUUGUGUGUGUUAGUAUAUGAUAGAUCACACUAUAAAUGAGAAGAUUCUUCUAGACAUUAUUUUCACUAAACUAACUUUUGUAUUUUUUUUGCCUAGUAUGAUUCUAAGAUGGAUAAAAAGAUUUGACUCGUCAAAUAACUAGAUAAACCGAGUGGCAAGUUAAGGCUUGUGACAUGGACUUUUGUCUAAGAUACAUCAUCUUAUCUUGCAUGCCCCACCGUAAUCAUGCAUACCAACGGAACCCCAACGGCCUAUCGUCAUGGCAUGGAGUUUUAAUUUUCCCUUUGGGAAAGGACAUCUACUCCACUUGGAUAGGUGCAAGUGCAUGAUUUUAAUUUGUUGAAACAAAAUUUGGAUGGCUCGACAUGCCUGGUUUAUAUGUGCCAAUACUCUUGAACAAUGUCAUGAACAACGACAAGGUGACAAGCACAACCAAAAGAUUCAAAGUAGAAGUUUUUCAUUCUUCUUGGACCACUAUGAUUGGUGAGAAGAACCAGGCAAUCGUCUGAUAUUGACGAGAAUAGCGUGUGGAGCACAUGGGUGUAGAAGCAUCUAAAAAAUGUGUUGCAAAAGAAGGAGCCAAGCUUGCAAAGAUCGAAGCCGAGAGAGAAAAAUUAGUCGGAGAUCCUCGUUAAGAUCAAAGCCAAGAAAAAAAUUAUUAGCCUAGAUUAUGUACAUUUACAUCACAGGACACUUGGCUCCUUUUCUGGCACACUAGGUCUUAUUGGGAGUUCCUCGCUAAGAUCGAAGCUGAGAGAAAAAUUAGUAGCCUAGAUAAUGUAUAUUUGCAUCAAGUUUUGGUCCCAAAGCAUAAGAAUGUUGCCAAUCCAUAUGUUGCACAAAACUGCACGACGAGUUCUACCAUGAUUACAACCAAUGAAUUGGUCAAUAGCGUCCACCUUAAUUUCCUAGUUGCACGCUGUGUGGUCGAAGGAUGAUGCAAUCAUAUCAUGAAUAUGCAUACGCCUUACUUGUUAUGAUCGUUAUGGCUAUACAAUUAACAUGGUUUUUACUGCUAAAAUUUCAUCUCCAACACAUAUAAUCUACCAAUGCAUGCACUGGUUACUUUUUUUGUCUAGUCUACAAUGACUGGAAACACCGACCACUGUCUAUGGUGGUGUGUACACGAAAGAAGAUAUCCCAUAUGGGUGGCAGGACCUCAACCAUCCUCAUCUUAGGCAUGGUUUCCAUCUAAAUUACAUUGAUGUUUUUUUAGAAAUGACAUUGAUGGUUUCUAUCUAAUGACAUUAAUGACACCCUCAACAGUCAACAUUACAGAAGAAAACACACACACACACACACACACACACAGAGAGAGAGAGAGAUACAGAGGUGCUGAGGAGAACAUCAAACAAAAGUACAAAUUGGCCACAGGAAAACAAAAGGUAGAGAAGAAUGGAGCGCGGCCUGGAAGCCAUAGCCUUGAAACACUAGAGCGCUCUUUUACCAAGGUAUACACAAAUGCGAUUAAUACAAUGAUGGGCAAACAAAUGUAAUUAAGACAAUGAUGGAUAAAACAUCAGAAGAAAGGACCAUUGUCUGCAUCCAAGAUGGACCUAUUCGCGGAACCAUCCAUCCAUCGCCGAAGAGGCCCCCCUGCCCUCUCGCCCUUUCUUGACGGACACAGACCCGUCGAAUGGCGCUAGGUCAGUAUCACAAAUGACCAUACCAAUCUGAGGCAAUGUUGUUGCAGCGAACCACAAGCCAUAACCUUGACUACCAACUAAGGAACUAAGCUCACGGGACAGUGCCUCCAAGAAGGGAACGACAUUGCACCACCGCUGUGACGACCCACAAGUAUAGGGGAUCAAUCUUAGUCCUUUCGAGAAGUAAGAGUGUUGAACACAACGAGGAGCAAAAGAAAAUGACAAGCGGUUUUCAACAAGGUAUUGUCUGCAAGCACUGAAACAAUCAGUAACAGAUAGUUUGUUAGCAAGGUAAUUUGUAACGAGCAAAAGUAGUAAGGUAACAAAGGUGCAGCUAGGUAGCCCAAUCCUGUUUUCUAUCAAAGGACAGGUUGGAAUGAUCUCUUUAAUAAGCAAAAGUGUUCUUGAGGACACACGUGAAUUUCAUCUAGUCACUUUGAUCAUGUUUGUUUGAUUCACGUUUGCUAUUCUGCUAUUUUGAUAUGUUGGUGGACCGGCGCUUGAGUAUUUUUCUUACUUAAACAAGCCUACCACUUAUGAUUAACCCCUCUCGCAAGCUUCUACAACUACGAAAGAAGAAUUAAGAUAAAAUUAACCAUAACAUGAAACAUACGGAUCCAAAUCAGCCUGAUAACCCACAAGUAUAGGGGAUCGCAACAGUUUUUGAGGGUAGAGUAUUCAACCUAUAUUUAUUGAUCCGACACAAGGGGAGCCAAAGAAUAUUCUCAAGUAUUAGCAGCUGAGGUGUCAAUUCAACCACACUUGGAUAACUUAAUAUCUGCAGCAAAGUAUUUAGUAGCAAAGUAAUAUGAUAGUAAUGGCAACAGUGGCAAAAGUAACGGUAGCAGUUUUGGUUUUAUAGUGAUUGUAACAGUAGCAAUGGAAAAGUAACUAAGCGAAGAACAAUAUGUGAAAUGCUCGUAGGCAUUGGAUCGGUGAUGGAGAAUUAUAUCGGAUGUGAUUCCUCAUGUAAAAGUUAUAACCUAGGGUGACACAGAACUAGCUCCAGUUCAUCAAUGUAAUGUAGGCAUGUAUUCCGAAUAUAGUCAUGCGUGCUUAUGGAAAAGAACUUGCAUGACAUCUUUUGUCCUUCCCUCCCAUGGCAGCGGGGUCCUAUUGGAAACUAAGGGAUAUUAAGGCCUCCUUUUAAUACAGUACCGGAACAAAGCAUUAGCACUUAGUGAAUACAUGAAAUCCUCAAACUAUGGUCAUCACCGGUAAGUAUCCCGAUUAUUGUCACUUCGGUAUUAACGGAUCAUAACACAUCAUAGGUGACUAUAGACUUGCAAGAUAUGAUCAAGAACUCACAUAUAUUCCUGAAAACAUAAUAGGUUCAGAUCUGAAAUCAUGGCACUCGGGCCCUAGUGACAAGCAUUAAGCAUAGCAAAUUCAUAGCAACAUCAAUCUCAGAACAUAGUGGAUACUAGGGAUCAAACCCUAACAAAACUAACUCGAUUACAUGAUAAAUCACAUCCAACCCAUCACCGUCCAACAAGCCUACGAUGGAAUUACUCGCGCACAGCGGUGAGCAUCAUGAAAUUGGUGAUGGAGGAAGGUUGAUGAUGACGAUGGCGACAGAUUCCCCUCUCCGGAGCCCCGAGCAGACUGCAGGUCAGCACUCCCGAGAGAGUUUGGGGCUUCGCGGUGGCUCCGUAUUGUAAAACGCGAUGAAUCCUUCUCCCUGAUCAUUUUCCUCCCCGAACAUGAAUAUAUGGAGUUGGAGUUGAGGUCGGUGGAGCACCAAGGGGCCCACGAGAUAGGGGCGCGCCCCCACCCUCGUGGACAGGGUGUGGGCCUCUGGCCUUGACUCGUUCGCCAAUAUUUUUUAUAUAUUCCCAAAAUAAUCUCUGUCGAUUUUCAGGUCAUUCCGAGAACAUUUAUUUCUGCACAAAAAUAACACCAUGGCAAUUCUGCUAAAAACAGUGUCAGUCCGGGUUAGUUCCAUUCAAAUGAUGCAAGUUAGAGUCCAAAACAGGGGCAAAAGUGUUUGGAAAAGUAGAUACGUUGGAGACGUAUCAACUCCCCCAAGCUUAAACCUUUGCUUGUCCUCAAGCAAUUCAGUUGAUAAACUGAAAGUGAUAAAGAAAAACUUUUACAAACUCUGUUUGCUCUUGUUCUUGUAAAUAUGUAAAGCCAGCAUUCAAGUUUUCAGCAAAGAUUAUGAACUAACCAUAUUCACAAUAACAUUUACGUCUCAUGUUUACUCAUAUCAAUGGCAUAAUUAACUAGCGAGCAAUAAUAAGAAAUCUCGGAUGACAACACUUUCUCAAAAAAUCAUGAUAUGAUAUAACAAGAUGGUAUCUCGCUAGCCCUUUCUGAGACCGCAAAACAUAAAUACAAAGCACCCCUAAAGAUCAACGACUGACUAGAAAUUUUAAUUCAUUGUAAAAGAGAUCCAGUCAUAGUCAUACACAAUAGUAAUGGAUGCAAAUGACAGCGGUGCUCUCCAACUGGUGCUUUUUAAUAAGAGGAUGCCGACUCAACAUAAAAGUAAAAAGACAGGCCCUUGGCAGAGGGAAGCAGGGAUUUGUAGAGGUGGCAGAGCUCGAUUUUGAAAUAGAGAUAAAUAAUAUUGUGAGCGGCAUACUUUCAUUGUCAACAUAACAACCGAGUGAUUUCGAUAUCUUACAUGCUACACACAUUAUAGGCGGUUCCCAAAAAGAAUGGUAAAGUUUAUACUCCCCCUCCACCAACAAGCAUCUAUCCAUGGCUUGGCCAAAACAACGGGUGCCUCCAACUAACAACAAUCCUGGGGGGAGUUUUGUUUGCAAUUAUUUCGAUUUGAUUUGCUUAAAGCAUGGGACUGGGCAUCCCGGUGACCAGCCAUUUUCCCGUGAGUGAGGAGCGUAGUCCACUCCUCUUGAGAAUAACCCUCCUAGCAUGGAAGAUACAAACAGCCCUAAUUGAGACAUGAGCUAUUUGAGCAUGCAAAACAGAAUUUUAUUUGAAGGUUUAGAGUUUGGCACAUACAAAUUUACUUGGAACGGCAGGUAGAUACCAUAAAUAGGUAGGUAUGGUGGACUCAUAUGCAAUAACUUUGGGGUUUAUGGAAGUGGAUGCACAAGCAGUAUUCCCGCUUAGUACAAGUGAAGGCUAGAAAAAGACUAGGAAGCGACCAACUAGAGAGCAACAACAGUCAUGAACAUGCAUUAAAAUUAAUCAACAUCGAGUGCAAGCAUGAGUAGGAUAUAAUUCACCAUGAGCAUAAAUAUCGUGGAGGCUAUGUUGAUUUUGUUUCAACUACAUGCGUGAACAUGUGCCAAGUCAAGUCACUUAAAUCAUUCAGAGGAGGAUACCACUCUAUCAUACCACAUCAUAACCAUUUUAAUAGCAUGUUGGCACGCAAGGUAAACCAUUAUAAACUCCUAGCUAAUUAAGCAUGGCAUAAGCAACUAUAAUCUCUAAUUGUCAUUGCAAGCAUGUUUCAUUCAUAAUAGGCUGAAUCAGGAAUGAUGAACUAAUCAUAUUUAUAAAAAUAAGAGAGGUGGAGUUCAUACCAGCUUCUCUCAUCUCAAUCAGUCCAUCAUAUAUCGUCAUUAUUGCCUUUCACUUGCACGACCGAACGGUGUGAAUAAUAAUAAUAGUGCACGUGCAUUGGACUAAGCUGGAAUCUGCAAGCAUUCAAUAAAUAGUAGAAGACAAGGUAAUAUGGCUCUUGGUUAAAUUAACAAUAAUGCAUAUGCAAGCCAUUUAACAUUUUCAUCAUGGUCUUAUCCUCUUAACCCCCAAAGAACAAGAAAAGAAAUAAAACUAUUUACACGGGAAAGCUCCCAACAAGCAAAAGAAGAAAGAGAAAUAUUUUUGGGUUUCUCUUAAUUACUACUAUAGGCAUGGAAAGUAAACUAAAUAAAAGCUACAACUAAUUUUUUUUGUUUUCCUUAAGGUUUAUCAAACACACAAGAAGAAAGCAAGAAAAAGAAAAUAAACUAGCAUGGAUAUUACAAUGAAAAUUAUGAGCACCGACAACUAGCAUGAGUGUGUGAACAUAAAUGUAAUGUCGGUGAGAAAUACGUACUCCCCCAGGCUUAGGCUUUUGGCCUAAGUUGGUCUAUGCCCAUGGAUCAAAGUGGCCCUCUCUAGUGUAUGCAGGAGUGUCCUCUGGUUGCCACUGGUUGGCGAUCUCUUCCGGAUCCCAUUGAUAAACAGACUGCCGGUGAGGAUCAGGUUGUGGCUCCGACUCUGGCUCUAGGGCUGGUGUCUGGCCCCGGUAUGCAUGGAUGGCCUCCGGCAAUACGAGGUACUUGCCUGAAAAUAUGUUAAACAAGGAAGGAGCAGGCAAGGUAAUAAACUGAAAAUAAUUUUUGUGAAAUAUCAAUUUAUAUUUAAGUAUCUUAUUCUUAUCCUUAACAAUAAACUCAUGUGCUUCCAUGCUCUUAUAAUCUAGAAUAAUAGGAGGCAACAACGUUUCCUCUUUCUCAUAAUGCCUGAUAGGUAUGUUAAAGUGUGCAGCAAGGCGCGAGGCGAAGAUGCCUCCUAAGAUGGGACCCAUUCGUGCGGUUCAGAUUUAACCGCUUGGCAACAAUAGCGCCUAGACUAAAAGUGUUAUCAUGAAACAAGGCAUGGCAUAAAAUAACAAUAUCAGGGGCACUAAGGUUCCCACAGUUUCCGCGACAAAUUAAGCAUCUACUAGCAAAUAUUGAGAAGUAACGUAGAACAGGAAAAUGUAUGCUAGUAAUUCUUGCAUCGGAAAAUUUCCUCGUUUCCCCUACAGCAAUCAUAUCAAUAAAUCCCUCCACAUCAUUAUGACGUGGUUCCUCUAUGCUGCCCUCAAAGGAUAUCAAACAGACCUGGCAAAAAUCAUAAACCGACAUAUCCUUAUGCUCAUCAUAUAAAUAAAAUUCCACCGAAGGUGGUGAUCUCCUAGCAUGGAAAUGAAAAUUUUGCACAAAGAUAUUGGUGAGUAAGAGAUACUGUUCGCGUCGAUCAUGGAGGAAGGCGGUGAGGCCUGCAUUCUCAGCCAAAUAAUAAAAAUCUUCAUGAAUCCCGGCUUCUCUCAAGAACUCAUCGCAAGGCCAUUCACACGGCCGAACCUCCGCAGUACGAGGGAGAUUAUACUUGGGCUUCUUGAUCUCUUCGCUUUGUUUAUCCUUCGAACCUCGGCUCGACGAGCCCCUCAAUAAUCUCUCCAUCAUUUUCUGAAAAUUUCUGAAAAUUUUAGUGACUCAAAAUAAAAGUGAACCAAACUCAACAAUAUUGAUAGCAACUACUCCUACAAGUACCUAGAGGCAAUAUCAUACAUUAGAACUACUUGGGACCAUAUAAAUUUGACAUCAAGAUCAAGAACAGGGUCACCUUAAGCAGCAAAAAUUUGCAAUGAAUAAAGCACUAGAACAAAAACUAAUUGGACCAUUGGAGGAGUCACAUACCGAAGAAAAAUCCCCCAAAGUAGUUUUGUGAAUGGAGCUUUGAGCAAGGAGAUCGAAAAUGGCAGCAAGAUGAGCCAGAACUCAUGCUUGAGUUGCUUGGUGAUUUUUUUGGGAGGAAGAAGGAGUGUGUGAUGGCUGGAAUAAGUGGAGGGGAGCCACCAUGGGCCCACGAGGGCAGGGGCACGCCCAGGGGGGUGGGUGCGCCCUUGACCCUCGUGGCCAGGUGCUUACUCCCCAUGAUGAGUUCUUAGUGCCAGAUAUUGUCAAAUAUUCCAUAAAAAAGCAUAUUUCAAUUUCGAGGCAUUUGGAGAAAUUUUAUUUUUUGGGGUAUUUUUUAUUGCAUGGAUAAUUCAGAAAACUGACAUAAAAUACUAUUUUUGCUUUAUUUAAUCUAAAUAACAGAAGGUAAAAAGAGGGUACAGAGAGUUGUGUUUUUCUAACUUCAUCCAUCUCAUGCUCAUCAAAAGGAAUCCACUAACAAGGUUGAUCAAGUCUUGUUAACAAACUCAUUCCGAAUAACAUGGAACCGGAGAAAUUUCGAAUAACACUAUGUUACCUGAACGGGGAUAUGCAUGUCCCCAACAAUAAGAAUAUUAUAUUUCUUCUUGACAGUAGGAAGGGGAAAUUCAAAACCUCCAAAAGUAAUUGUUGAAAUUUUUCCAAUAGAAUUGAUACUAUGAACUUGAGGUUGUUUCCUCGGAAAGUGUACCGUAUGCUCAUUACCAUUAACAUGAAAAGUGACAUUGCCUUUGUUGCAAUCAAUAACAACCCCUACAGUAUUCAAAAAGGGUCUUCUAAGAAUAAUAGACAUACUAUCAUCCUCGGGAAUAUCAAGAAUAACAAAGUCCGUUAAAAUAUUAAUGUUUGCACCACAACAGGCACAUCCUCACAAAUACCGACAGGUAUAGCAGUUGAUUUAUCAGCCAUUUGCAAAGAUAUUUCAGUAGGUGUCAACUUAUUCAAAUCAAGUCUACGAUAUAAAGUGAGAGGCAUAACACUAACACUGGCUCCAAGAUCACAUAAAGCAGUUCUAACAUAGUUUCUUUUAAUGGAGCAUGGUAUAGUUGGUACUCCUGGAUCUCCUAGUUUCUUUGGCAUUCCACCCUUAAAAGUAUAAUUAGCAAGCAUGGUGGAAAUUCCAGCUUCUGGUAUCUUUCUCUUAUUAGUAACAAUAUCCUUCAUAUACUUAGCAUAAGGAUUCAUUUUAAGCAUAUCAAUCAAACACAUACGCAAGAAGCACUACAGGAAUCCAGUAUUUUGCCGUCUGCGGACGGCAAACAGGGACGGCAAAGACUGGGUCGGCAAACAAGUCCUUUGCCAUCUGCUUUUUAUGGCGGACAGCAAAGAGUCCUUUGCCUACAGCAGCGGACGGCAAAGAGGAGGGACGGAAAAAUAUUGGACGUCCGCUAGCGUUAGUCCUUUAGGCGGCUAACGGCGGCCUUUGCCGUCCGCCAGUGGACGGCAAAUUUGAGCGCCUCUUUGCCGUCCACCAGUCGACGUCAGCAAUGCGUCAGCGCCCGCUGUGUUUUGCCGUCUGCCACGGCGGACGGCAAAGGCACAGUCUUUUCCAUCAGCUUAGCUUUGUCGUUCUCCACGGUAGGAAAAUUUGCCAAAUGGCCCAUCUCUCAGGAAGCACAGGUGGGCGCCACGUGCCCCCUUUGCCGUCUGCCACCGACGGCAGAGGGGUCUUUGCCGUCUGCCGCGGACGGCAAAGAGCCUACACUGCCUCUUUUUUAUUCUGUUUUUCUUAUAUCAAACAAUUAUCACAACAAAUAUAUCGCAGGACUCUUUCACAAUAAAUAUCCAGCACAUAUAUAUCCAACAUAAUAAAUAUCCAACACAUAUAUAUCCAUCCAUACAUACAUAGUAGGUUGCACAUAGUUCCAUCGAUCCAUACAUAUUACAAUAUGCAAAGUUUCAUCAUAGCAAUCUAGUUUCAUCAUAGCAAGUUAAUUCCAUCAUAGCAAGCGAGUAGAAUACAAGAAGUGCAUCAAAGCAAAAACAAGCAAUCCAUCAUAGCAAGCUGGCUUCCGUGAAGUGAAUGAAACCUGCAAAAUGACAAAUAAGAAAUUUAGAAAAAGAAGACUAGAAGAAGAAUUAGACUAGAAGAAAAAGAAUAGAAGAAGAAGAAGAAGACUAGAAGAAGAAGUAUAUGCCAUUUAUUAGCUAACUUAGGUGAACUGCAUCAUUUAUGAACUAAAUUAGUUGAAAUGGAUCGUUUAUGAGCUAACUUAGGUGAAAUGGAUCGUUUAUUAGCUAACCUAGGUGAAAUGGAUCGUUUAUGAGCUAUCUUAGGUGAAAUAUAUCAUUUAUGAGCUAAGUUAGGUGAAAUGGAUCAUUUAUGAGCUAACCUAGGUGAAAUGGAUCAUUUAUGAGCUAACGUAGGUGAAAUGGGUCGUUUAUGAGCUAACCUAGGUGAAAUAGGUCGUUUAUGAGCUAACCUAGGUGAAAUGGGUNNNNNNNNNNNNNNNNNNNNNNNNNNNNNNNNNNNNNNNNNNNNNNNNNNNNNNNNNNNNNNNNNNNNNNNNNNNNNNNNNNNNNNNNNNNNNNNNNNNNNNNNNNNNNNNNNNNNNNNNNNNNNNNNNNNNNNNNNNNNNNNNNNNNNNNNNNNNNNNNNNNNNNNNNNNNNNNNNNNNNNNNNNNNNNNNNNNNNNNNNNNNNNNNNNNNNNNNNNNNNNNNNNNNNNNNNNNNNNNNNNNNNNNNNNNNNNNNNNNNNNNNNNNNNNNNNNNNNNNNNNNNNNNNNNNNNNNNNNNNNNNNNNNNNNNNNNNNNNNNNNNNNNNNNNNNNNNNNNNNNNNNNNNNNNNAUGAGCUAACCUAGGUGAAAUCGGUCGUUUAUGAGCUAACCUAGGUGAAAUGGGUCGUUUAUGAGCUAACCUAGGUGAAAUGGAUCAUUUUGGAGCUAACUUAGUUGAAAUGGGUCGUUUAUGAGCUAACUAAGGUGAAAUGCCACGUUUUUGAGCUAACUAAGGUGAAAUGGAUCGUUUUUUAGCUAACUUAGGUGAAAUGGGUCAUUUUGGAGCUAACCUAGGUGAAAUGGGUCAUUUUGGAGCGAACCUAGGUGAAAUGGGUCAUUUUAAAGCUAACGUAGGCAAAAUGGAUCAUUUAGGAGCUAAUCUACGUAAAAUGGGUCAUUUUAGAGCUAACUUGGAUAAAUUGGAUCACUUGUAAGCUAACUAAGGUAAAAUGAGUCAUUUUAGAGCUAACUUAGGUAAAAUGGAUCGUUUAUGAGCUAACUAAGCUAAUGAUGCAAUUUUUGACAUAACUAAGCUAAGUACAUAUCGUUUUAGAGCUAACUUAGGUAAAAUGGAUGGUUUAUGAGGUUAGUAAGCUUGUUAAGUCAUUUUUGAGGAAAAGAAGCUAACUCUAGGUCAUUAUGGUAAGCAUAUUGGAGGGAAAAAAGAUAAGUCUAGGUCUUUAUGCAUUUGUUAAGCAACACACUAGAGAAACUUACCGUGAUCAGGGAGGUGUAGGAGCAGGCUGGCUCGCGCCGGUAGCUGGAGAAGGAUCGUGCGAUGCGUUUCUGGAGUUAAGCUGCACCAAAGAUCAUUUCCAAUGUCUCAUUAGCAUUAUGACACUCAAAUGUUAAGACUAGCAAGUAAUGUCCAUUCAAAUUAAACUCACCGUGCUCCCAGGGGCAAUCACUAGCAUCGGUGGAGCGGUCUGACUAGACUUCUCGCACACAGACUGCACAUUUGGUUUUCACAACAGAGUCAUACUAGUUAGUAAUGAAACUCAAAUGUCAAGACUAGCAAGUAAUCUGCAGAAGAAACUUACCACAAGGAGCUCGUACAUGGCCCUUGCCUGCAUGUCAUUCCGUGCCCUCUCCUCCUCCAACAUCUUUGUCGUCCUCUCCUCCAACUCUCACUGCCUCUCCGCCGCCUCCGCCGCCUCCGCCAGAAGUUUCUCCAUUCUAUCUCUCUCACUCUGUAUAGUAGCCUGCAACACCACUCACAUGACCAUUUGUAAUCAUUGAUGGAAGCGCACACAAUGUAAUGGAGAAAGAUAACUAACCUUGAAGGCGAGUUGGACUGCCCGUUCACGAGGCCUUAUCUCAGGAGCGGAGCUCGACUAGCGCGCCUUGAUCUCCGGGAGAGUGCUAGGACAACAGAUAAGUCCAUCUCCCAUGGCUAUGGGGCCAUGGGACCUCCCGCCACCAGAUAUCAUCAGCAGCUCUGUAUCAAUGGGACCCUGGCUUGGGUUAAAGUCCUCCCCUUUCCUCUCCUUCCCCUGAUCUCUAUAUUGCACGAGCUUGUCAUGGGCGGAGAUGUUGGUGAAGUUCUUCGGAUCAUUGAGGUCAGACGCAGAGAAUGCCUUAACUUUCUUGUAAGGGCCAGUCUGGGCCAUGGCAUACAGGUCGUACACCUCUAGCACCUUAUCCGCCUUAUUGUAGCGUGCCUGAAAGAGAGAAACAAAGUAAAUUAGUAAUUAAAGUUCUAAAGCUAGCAUGAUGAAUGAAUUGCAUGAAUCAUGAAGCAAACUACAUACCCAGUUCCGCCCGUACUGAAAUAAGUUGGAGCUGCCUUGGUGGUGUGGCACACCUUCCAUUUGGGCACGUUUGUCCUUGGCCUCAUUGUGGGUGGCCCGCCAUUCUUUCUAGCACCACGCAUUGACCAACACCUCCCAACAAUCCAUCCGAUCCGCACACCAUCUCGGAGGGGUCUAAGUUAGCAAAUAGAAACUUGAGCGCUACGGCUAUGAAUUACUAAAUGAAGGAAGUAAGUACAAGGCCUUAAGAAUUACCUUCAUGUACUGCUCCUUACUCAAGAACUUAUCGCGGCACUCCUGCUUGGGCUUAUUGAUACCACGCCCGGCGUAGUAGUCUCGAACAGCCUGCACCCGAACCUCAUGCCGUAAGUUCUGAAGUAGGCGCUUGCACUCCUUGUCGAUAACAUCUGCCGCCUCCUCCUCGUAUCCCUCCUCACACCUGUAGAAUGUCUGCAAUCAAAUGAGACAAUAUUGAUUAGUACAAUUAAUAACUAGGUAGUUGAAGAUUUUUAAUUGUGUAAAGGAGAAAUUACCCAGAACUUUCUAAUCACCACGUCUGCCCUCGUCUUGCACAAGACACCGUCGAUAAUCUCACCCGUCGGGGCUGGGGCAGCCAAGUAGUGCUCCCAACUCAAUCCAACCUCUGGAAGCCGACCCUCACCAGGCAAUGUGACAAACCCCGGGAAGUUUUGCCGAAUCAUAACUCCAAGGACGGAGUUGGGCCGGCGGACACUUUCAUGGUGGUCCCAACCCCUGCAGCAUGACAAGGCCAACGCAUUAGUUAUUUGAAGAAACGUGAAUGCAGAAGGUACAAAAAGAUUAAAUGCACCUACCUCUCCCCAUCAGGGAAAAUCAACCACCUCUGCUCGUGGGUCGCCGGCACGGACGGGAGCCGUGUAGCACCACGCUGGUAGAUGUUGCCCCCUCCACCUCAAUAUCAGUCGGCUCCCCGCCAUCAUCAGCAUGGCCACUCGGCUCCCCGCCAUCAUCAGCAUGGACACUCGGCUCCUCAGGCUGACCCGACCAGGUACCCCAUCCAGACGUGUGCUCCUCCGGGGUCUCGUGGGCCGAAGGCCCGUCGACCCGAGGCUCGUGGGCCGAAGACCCGUGGACCGGAGUCUGUGUAGCCUCCAACUCGGACGAGUCCACCCUAGCAGUCACGUGCUCGGGUGAAACAGCUGGGGGUGGCGGCGAGGAAGGCGCCGUAAGAGUCACCCUACCUCCUCUCCCGGGACCACGUGCUCCACCUCCUCUCUUCUUCUUACCUCAUCCCUUGCUGGGCACCGCGGUCGACGAAGAAGGGCCCGACGGUGUCGCCAUACUGUCCAGCAACGCUCGGCGGAGAAGUGCGUGUGGAAUGGAAGACCUCGCACCACGUGCCAACGAAGAAGGGGCCUCGGCGCGCUGCCGACCAGCGACCACCAUCUUUCAACACCUGCCAUGACAAAGAAUAAACGAAAUUAGUACAACAUAAAAAAAGUACCGACAUGAAUAAUAAUAUGUAUAUCACUUAAGUGUAUCAUCAUCAAGUACAACAUAAAAAAAUUGAAUACCUGACACUACUAAUAAUCGCGAUCAGUAUCAUCAAUAAAUGCAUAAUCAUCAUCAUCACUAUAAUCAGUGAUGGGCUCAUAGGGUUCAUUGGCAUCAACAUGUGCAAGGCCACCUUGAUGUAAUCGGUCAAGCAUUGACAAGUCAUCCGCAGCAGUAACCUCUUCUUGUUCCGGCUCUUCUUGUUCCUCCUCUGGGGUGAUGUCGGAUUCACUGUCGCUGUCUACUUCAAUGUUUUGGGGUGAAGUAUAGCGGUUCUUGAAACGCUUUUUGGAAAGACGUGUCUCUUGGAAGAAUUCCCCUUCAUAUGUGUCUGGGUUAAUCUGAGGUUCAUAAUCCCCUUCCUUUGGGGGAGAAAGUCUAGCACGUGGCGGCACUUCAUAAACGACAUCCCAACCUUUCAUAUUUGGAUUAGUUUGGCAGGCCCACAGUAGAUAGAAUACUUGGGUCGCCCGUUGAGCCGUAAUAUAGACAUCAGGAACAUCUAAAUGGGUGCUUUGGUUGAUUUCAACCAGCCCUAUAUGUUCAUGAGUCCUUCUAGUCUCUUUCGGCUGAAACCAAUAACAUUUGAAGACUAAGACAUUCGGUGGGUUUUCACCAUAGAACAGAAGUUCAUAAAUUGCUUCAACUCUCCCAUAAUACUCGGUACCUCCUUCGCCGAUAGAAGAUACACAACAAUUUGUAGACUUUCGGUCGGCCAUAGAUAGCUCUUUGCCAUAGGUACGAAAGCGAUACCCAUUGAUGUCGUACUUGUCAAAUGAACGGACCUUAUAGUCAAAACCAUUAGCGACUUGUCUCAAUUCGGCGUCCAUAGACUCUGAAUUAGCCUACAAGUUUAAUAUGAAAGGAUUGUUGCAUUACGCACAAAUUAGCGAAUGAAAUGAAAUUGUCUAAUAGAAAUUACCGUUUGUUUGAACCAAGAGAUGAAACCGGGAUAGCCGCCUCCUUGCUUUGCGAGAAGCUCAUACUCUUCGACGGAAUCCUUUUGGAUCUCCGCUCCAUAUGAGAAUAUGGCGACGUAUCGACUGUAUGACAUAUCCAGGAAUAAGAGCAGUUCAAAGGAAAUAGAAGUUACGAAACAAUGUACCGAGAACUUACUUGAUGUACGGCCGCACUUCUAUCAGGUUGUUGAAGAUAUACAACGAAAUGGUCCGCCAUUCUUCGUUAUCCAAAGAUACUGGAUGUGAAACAUUAGCUGGUGCAAGAUUCCCUUUGAAUAGGCUGAGGUUGGAUCCACCCUUUUUAGGGUCGUCAGCAUUGUACCGAGGCUUCAGAUUAUGCAAAUGACGAUUUUUGGCUUCGUAGUGUGCUGUUACGAAGUUUGCCGCCUCCUCUGUGAUGAAUGCCUUAGCCAUCGAUGCUUCAAUUCUAUGUUUAUUUUUACAUUUUUCUCGAAGCGUCUUUUGCAUCCUCUCAGUUGGGUAGCACCAACGAUUUUGCACGGGCCCCCCAAUCUUGCCUCGGUCGGGAGAUGCAAAAUCAAAUGCUGCAUUGGAUUAAAGAAGCCUUGUGGAAAGAUCUUCUCUAACUUAUAGAUCAACUCCGGCGCCAACUCUUCCAUUUCUUCUAGCACGCCAGGCGAUAGUUCUUUCACACAAAGAACACGGAAGAAAUAGCUGAGUUCUGCCAGUACUAGCCAUUCAUCCUCAGGGAUGAAGCCAUGCAACAUCACCGGCAUUACCAGCUCAAUCCAUAUGUGCCAAUCAUGACUCUUGAGACCAAAUAUCUUCAAUUUUUUAAGAUUCGCUCCCUUCUUUAGAUUCGCUGCAUACCCAUCGGGGAACAUCAAUUGCUGUUGCACCCACAAGAUAAUUUCCCUCAUAGCUGGCCUUCCAAGAUUGAACCAUGCCUUUGGCUUCGUCCAGUUCUGCUUUCCUUUCGGUUCUUUCAUGUUUUGUAACGGCCUAUCACAUAGCGCCUCCAGAUCGACUCUAGCCUUAGUAUUAUCCUUUGACUUCCCAUCUAUGCCGAACAAUGUACCAAAAAGUGCCUCAGCGAUAUUCUUCUCAGUGUGCAUCACGUCGAUGUUGUGUGGGCAAAGGAGGUCUUUGAAGUAAGGCAGAUCCCAUAAGCAUGUUUUGUGAGUCCACGCGUGCUUAGUAUUAUACCCCUUGAAGUACCCCGGACGCUGUGGAUCUGGCUCGAGAGUGUUUAACUGAUCCAGGGUCUGUUGGCCUGUCAAUGCACGUGGUGCAGAGUUUUUGACAACUCUACCUCUGAUGAAGUUCUUCUUGUCUUUCCUGAACUUAUGGCGAGGAUCCAGGAACUGUCUAUGCAUGUCGAAGCAAGAAAACUUGCGACCGGCCUGAAGCCAACGAAACUCAAGAGCUCCCUUGCAUGUGGGGCACGAGAACCUUCCAUGCACACAGCAACCAACGAAUAGCGCAUACGCCGGCAAGUGAUGCGUCGAGUACAUGUACCAGACACGCAUUAUGAAGUUCCGUUUGCUAUAGGCGUCGUAUGUCUUGAACCCAUUAUCCCAGGCUUCUUGCAAUUCGUCCUUAAGCGGCUGCAUGUACACAUUCAUAUUUUUCCUUGGAUAGUUGGGCCCUGGAAUUAUCAACGUCAGGAAAAUGUUCUUUCUUUGCAUAAUCUAUCUGGGGGGGAGAUUGAGUGGAGAGGAAAAUACGGGUCAACAAUUGUAUUGGGCUGCCGUCAUACCAAACACACUGAACCCAUCCGUGCUGAUGCCGACUCGAGGAUGCCUCGGAUCUGCCGCUUUGUCAGCAUGUAAUUCAUCAAACUUUUUCCACGCAACACCAUCCGAUGUGUGUACCAUCAUCAGAUUCCCAUCUGCAUCUAGUUCGGUUCUUUUGCCUAUUUUGUGCCAUGUCAUCUGUCUGGCCGUCUCUUCGACCACGAAAAGACGUUGAAGUCUUGGUACGAUUGGCAUAUACUAAAGAACACUAACGGGGAGUUUGGUCUGUGUCUUCUCACCCAUACCGUUGUCUACCACAAUAUACCUGGAAGACUUGCAAAUGGGACAAUAGUUCAAGUCCGCAUAGUCAAGCCUAAACAAGGCACAUCCUUUCUCACAGGCAUGUAUCUUCUCAUAGGGCAUCUUCAGUGCAUGGAGGAUUUUGUCCGACUGGUACAGGUUUGCAGGCAUUACAUGGCCUUUGGGUAGAAAGCGUCCAAAUACUGUCAUAAUUGCGUCAUAGCAUUCUCUGCCCAAGUUGAACUGAGCCUUCAUAGCCAUUACUUGUGAGAUGGCAUCCAACUGACAAAGCUCAGUGUGCUUGUGGAGCGGACGUUUUGAAGACUCCAACAUUUCAUUGAAGGCCUUUGCAGAUUCCUCCAUCUCCUCGUCCGAAUCCCGAGCAUCAUCAUAGUCUUGCACCAUGUUUUCAAUCCCGGUACCAUGUUCGUCGGUGCCACGACGAUCCACCUCAGCUCAAUCACGUUGGGCAGACUCACCAUGAAAUGUCCAUACCGUAUAAUCAGGCGUAAAACCACUCUUCUGCAGGUGUUUGCGCAUUUCAGCCUCUGUCCUCUUUUCCCCAUUGCCGCACCGGAAACAGGGGCACCAGAUUUUCCUCUGGCCAUUUGAAAAUGCGGCUUGCACAAACCCCUUGGUUUUUGUGAACCAUUCAGCGCUCCAUUUUGUUUUGACCAAUGUGACCGGUAAACAUCCACGCACGAUCACUCAUCUUGACUUUCAGAGCUACUGGACACACAACAAUUAUAUAUGUAAUUCACCAUGUAUAUAUUCAUCAGUUGAUCUACUUUGUCAAUUUUAUUACGUCCAUGCAACCUACACUCUAAUAGGUAAUGAUAGGUCCUAAUCCCACCCGUGUAUGUGUAGAUUGGGUUCAUUUUCCCAUGCUAUGCUCCGGAUCCGACGCAAACUUUUGGCAGCACCUCCCCGCUGUUCUCCUGAUACACGUCUCUGCAAUAAACAGAGAGGAUGUGUACCCGGAGAACAACAGUGGAGGCACUAACGAAAUUUAUACGUCGGAUCCGGAGGAAAGCAUAUGGGAAAACAAACCCAAUCUACACAUACUCGGGAUGUCCAUGGAUAGUGUUGGACAAUUCGAAAGAAUCAAGGUUAUAAAUAUGCAAAUGCAUGCAUAUUUAUAACUAUGACGCUUUCGAACGGGAGACACAUAUUGGUUACGCAUACUGAUGAUUCAAGACACAUAUAUAACUAGCUAUCAAGUUUCAUCGGAAUAGAUCAAAUAAUUAAUUGGGGAGGAGGACAUGUCAUUUGUGCUCACCCAUGAACGAAAGGGCAGAGCUCGCCAAACGCACGGCGAGGUCAUCGAACACCAAACCUCGCAGCGAUCAAACAACUGCACAUUUAAAACUACCCGAUCUACACAAUUAUAUAUGAUGUUUUUCAUAACAAAAUCGAAAAAUAUAUGACCUAACUAAUAAUUCACAAAUAUAUGACCCCGUCGGCCUCUGGAAGGCCAAAGAACACCUUUUCGGGAGGUGUCGGGGGUCGGGGUGUCGUGUCGGUGUCGGGGUGCCGUGUCGGGGUCGGGGUGCUGUUUCGGGGUCGGGGUGUCGUGUCGGUGUCGGGGUGNNNNNNNNNNNNNNNNNNNNNNNNNNNNNNNNNNNNNNNNNNNNNNNNNNNNNNNNNNNNNNNNNNNNNNNNNNNNNNNNNNNNNNNNNNNNNNNNNNNNNNNNNNNNNNNNNNNNNNNNNNNNNNNNNNNNNNNNNNNNNNNNNNNNNNNNNNNNNNNNNNNNNNNNNNNNNNNNNNNNNNNNNNNNNNNNNNNNNNNNNNNNNNNNNNNNNNNNNNNNNNNNNNNNNNNNNNNNNNNNNNNNNNNNNNNNNNNNNNNNNNNNNNNNNNNNNNNNNNNNNNNNNNNNNNNNNNNNNNNNNNNNNNNNNNNNNNNNNNNNNNNNNNNNNNNNNNNNNNNNNNNNNNNNNNNNNNNNNNNNNNNNNNNNNNNNNNNNNNNNNNNNNNNNNNNNNNNNNNNNNNNNNNNNNNNNNNNNNNNNNNNNNNNNNNNNNNNNNNNNNNNNNNNNNNNNNNNNNNNNNNNNNNNNNNNNNNNNNNNNNNNNNNNNNNNNNNNNNNNNNNNNNNNNNNNNNNNNNNNNNNNNNNNNNNNNNNNNNNNNNNNNNNNNNNNNNNNNNNNNNNNNNNNNNNNNNNNNNNNNNNNNNNNNNNNNNNNNNNNNNNNNNNNNNNNNNNNNNNNNNNNNNNNNNNNNNNNNNNNNNNNNNNNNNNNNNNNNNNNNNNNNNNNNNNNNNNNNNNNNNNNNNNNNNNNNNNNNNNNNNNNNNNNNNNNNNNNNNNNNNNNNNNNNNNNNNNNNNNNNNNNNNNNNNNNNNNNNNNNNNNNNNNNNNNNNNNNNNNNNNNNNNNNNNNNNNNNNNNNNNNNNNNNNNNNNNNNNNNNNNNNNNNNNNNNNNNNNNNNNNNNNNNNNNNNNNNNNNNNNNNNNNNNNNNNNNNNNNNNNNNNNNNNNNNNNNNNCGGUGGGGUGGUGGGGUGGUGGGGCGACGGGGCGGCGGCGAGUGGUGGGGGCGGCGGCGCGCGUGUGAAGAGGGAGAGAAAUAGAGAGAGAGGGGCGGGAUGGGGCGUGGCCGUUAGAUAUGUUAAUUCUUUGUCGUCUGCUUUUUUGCUCUUUGCCGUCUGCUAGCAGACGGCAAAGAGGGGGCCGUUAAGUUUUUUUAAGCAGCUCGUCAGUGGGGCCCCCUCUUUGCCGUCUGCUAGUGGACGGCAAAGAACUGGCUGAUGGCAAAGAAGGUCUUUGCCAUCAGCCAAUUCUUUGCCGUCUGCUUUUGGGUAGCUGAUGGCAAAGAAGGUCUAAUCAUUUCAGCAAAGCGCUCAAAAUCCUCAUCAUCCUUUUUCUUGGAUGGUUUAGGAGGAAAGGGCAUGGAUUUCUGAACUCAUGGUUCUCUUUCUUUACCGUGCUUCCUAGAAACAAAGUCUCUUUUAUCAUAACAUUGAUUCUUUGAUUGUGGGUUAUCAAGAUCAACAACAGGUUCAAUCUCUACAUCAUUAUCAUUGCUAGGUUAACCAUUAACAUGAACAUCAUCAUGAACAUUAUCACUAGGUUCAUGUUCAUUACCAGAUUGUGUCUCAGCAUCAGAAAUAGAAAUAUCAUCGGGAUUCUCAGGUGUGUCAACAACAUGUUCACUAGAAGCAGGCAAAGUCCUAUCAUUUUUCUUUUUCUUCCUCUUAGAAGGACUAGGUGCAUCUACAUUAGUUCUUUGAGAAUCUUGCUCAAUUCUCGUAGGAUGGCCCUCAGGAUACAAAGGUUCCUGAGUCAUUUUGCCUCCUCUAGUCAUAACUCUAACAUCAUUAUCAUUCUUAUUAUUAUUUAAUUCAUUGAGCAAAUCAUUCUGAGCUUUAAGUAUUUGUUCUACUUGAGUGGUAACCAUAGAAGCAUGUUUACUAAUGAGUUUAAGUUCACCUUUAACUCUAGACAUAUAAUCACUCAAGUGUUCAAUCAUGUAAGCAUUGCAUUUCAAUUGUCUACCAACCUAAGCAUUGAAGUUUUCUUGUUUAACCAUAAAGUCAUAACACUCAUCUAAUCACUGACUAGCAAACUUAGUAGACGGGAUUUCAGCUUUAUCAUAUCUAUUGAGAGAAUUUACCUUUACUACCUAUGUCGGUUUAUCAAGACCAUGUAUUUCUUCAAUAGGCGGCAAAUUAAGACCAUGUAUUUCUUCAAUAGGUGGUAAAUUUUAACAUCUUCAGCUUUAAUACCUUUUUCUUUCAUAGAUUUCUUUGCCUCUUGCAUAUCUACAGGACUGAGAAAUAGAAUACCCCUAUUCUUCGGAGUUGGCUUAGGACUUAGUUCACGAAGUGUCCAAUUAUUUUCAUUAGUCAACAUAUUAUUCAAUAGCAAUUCAGCUUGAUCAACUAUUCUUUCCAUGAAAACACAACCAACACAACUAUCCAGGUAAACUCUGGAAGCAUCGGUUAGUCCAUUAUAAAAGAUAUCAAGUAUUUCAUAUUUCUUAAGAGGAUGAUCACGCAAAGCAUUAAGUAAUCGGAGAAGCCUCCCCCAAGCUUCUGGGAGACUCUCGUCUUCAAUUUGCACAAAAUUAUAUAUUUCCCUUAAAGCAGCUUGUUUCUUAUGAGCGCGGGAAUAUUUAGCAGAAAAGUAAUAAAUCAUAUCCUAGGGACUACGCACACAACCAGGAUCAAGAGAAUUAAACCAUGUUUUAGCAUCACCCUUUAAUGAGAAAGGAAAUAAUUUAAGGAUAAAGUAAUAGCGAGUUUUCUCAUCAUUAGUGAACAGGGUGGCUAUAUCAUUUAAUUUAGUAAGAUGUGCCACAACAGUUUCAGAUUCAUAGCCAUAGAAAGGAUCGACAGAGAAAUCAUAAUACUUAUCAGUAAUAAAGAUAGGUGAAGUAGCAAAAGUAGGGUCAUAUUUCGUUCUAGCAUUCAGAGAUUUUUCUUUCAGCUUAGCUAAUAAUUUCUUAAGAUCACUCCUAUCAUUGCAAGCAAGAAAGUCUCUAGGAGUUUCUUCCUCCAUAACAUAACCCUCAGGCACAACAGGCAAUUCAUAUCUAGGGGGAGAGUCUUCAUCAUCACAUUCAUCAAUAUUAUCAGUUUCAAUAAUAUCAUUCUCUCUAGCCCUAGCAAGUUGUUCAUCAAGAAAUUCACCUAGUGGCACAGAAGUAUCAAGCAUAAAAGUAGUUUCCUCAUAAAUAUCAUGCACGACAGAAGUGGCAUCAUCAAUAACAUGCGACCUAUCAGAAUCAAUAGCAGCAGUAGGUGUCGCAAGUUUACUCAUAAUAGAAGGUGAAUGAAGUGCAGAGCUAGAUGGCAGUUCCUUACCUGCCCUCAUAGUUGAGGGAUAAAUUUUGGUUCUUUGAUCUUUCAAGCUCUUCAUAGUGAUCAGCAGAUAUAAAUCCCAAGUGGCUCGAAGAAUAGAGCUAUGCUCACCGGCAACGGCGCCAAAAAAUAGUCUUGAUAAACCACAAGUAUAGGGGAUCGCAACAGUUUUCGAGGGUAGAGUAUUCAACCAAAAUUUAUUGAUUCGACAAAAGGGAAGCCAAAGAAUAUUCUCAAGUAUUAGCAGCUGAGUUGCCAAUUCAAUCAAACCUGGAUAACUUAAUAUCUGCAGCAAAGUAUUUAGUAGCAAAGUAAUAUGAUAGUAAUGGUAACAGUGGAAAAAGUAGCAGUAGCAGUUUUGGUUUUAUAGUGACUGUAACAGUAGCAACGGAAAAGUAACUAAGCGAAGAACAAUAUGUGAAAAGCUCGUAGGCAUUGGAUCGGUGAUGGAGAAUUAUUUUGGAUCCGAUUCCUCAUGUAAAAGUUAUAACCAAGGGUGACACAGAACUAGCUCCAGUUCAUCAAUGUAAUGUAGGCAUAUAUUCCGAAUAUAGUCAUACGGGCUUAUGGAAAAGAACUUGCAUGACAUCUUUUGUCCUACCCUCCCGUGGCAACGGGGUUCUAUUGGAAACUAAGGGAUUUUAAGGCCUCCUUUUAAUAGAGUACCGGAACAAAGCAUUAGCACUUAGUGAAUACAUGAACUCCUCAAACUACGGUCAUCACCGGUAAGUACCCCGUUAUUGUCACUUCAUGGUUAACAUAUCAUAACACAUAAUAGGUGACUAUAGACUUGCAAGAUAGGAUCAAGAACUCACAUACAUUCAUGAAAACAUAAUAGGUUCAGAUCUGAAAUCAUGGCACUCGGGCCCUAGUGACAAGCAUUAAGCAUAGCAAAGUCAUAGCAACAUCAAUCUCAGAACAUAGUGGAUACUAGGGAUCAAACCCUAACAAAACUAACUUGAUUACAUGCUAAAUCACAUCCAACCCAUCACCGUCCAGCAAGCCUACGAUGGAAUUACUCACGCACAGAGGUGAUCAUCAUGAAAAUGGUGAUGGAGGAAGGUUGAUAAUGACGAUGGCGACGGAUUCUCCUCCCCGGAGCCCCGAACAAACUCCAGAUCAGCACUCCCGAGAGAGUUUAGGGCUUGGCGGAGGCUCCGUAUCGUAAAACGCGAUGAAUCCUUCUCGCUGAUUUUUUCCUCCCCGAACACCAAUAUAUGGAGUUGGAGUUGAGGUCGGUGGAGCACCAGGGGGCCCACGAGGCAGGGGGGCACGCCCAGGGGGGUAGGAGCGCCCCCACCCUCGUGGACAGGGCGUGGCCCCCCUGGCCUUGAUUCUUUCACCAGAAUUUUUUAUAUAUUCCAAAAAUAAUCUACGUUGAUUUUCAGGUCAUUCCGAGAACUUUUAUUUCUGCACAAAAAUAACACCAUGGCAAUUCUGCUAAAAAUAGCGUUAGUCCAGGUUAGAGCAUCUCCUGUCGCGCCCCCAACAAGGCCCCCCAGGCGACUUUUUGGCCGCCGGCGCCAAAAAAUCGGCCCAGUCGCGCCCCAAGGGCCCAAUUUUCGCCAGCUCGGGCCGAAAUUGGCGCCGGCGGACCCAACCCGAACCCGACACGCUGGGGGGCACUCGGGGGCGCCGGGCGAAUCGUUUUUGGCGCGAAAGAGCCGCGGGCCCUCCUUGCCAGCGACUUGUCUCGCUUCUCGCCGCUUCGUCGUCCUCAUCGCCUCGUUUCCCACGGCGAAUCAAUGCCAAAGCUGCCGCGCCGGUCAGCCUCCGCCAUUGAUGCCUCACGGGCGGUGCAGUGAAGGCGUGACGACGUGCGUCCCCACGCAUGCCACGCGUAGACGAGGCCGCCACGCUUGCUCGCGCCGCCUCCGCCUAUAUAAGCCGACCCCAGCGCGCCGGUGGCGCGCACAGAGCCUCCCUACCGACGCACCCUAUCUCCCCUUCCUCCCUCUCUCCUCGCCGUCCCAGUUCGUAGAAAUGGCCGAACGAUUCCCAUGCGACGGCGCGGCGGCGAACGGCUUCGGCCGCCGCCACCUUCACGAAAACGAAGCUCGGCUCCUCUACGAGGCCGAGUACCCGGUCCCGCCGGACAUGCGGGUGCCCGGGGCGUGGAGAAUCAGCGCCGGCGGGGUCCCGGUGCCACCACCGCCCACCGGGAUGGCGCGUCGUGCGGAGAUCGCGCGUAUUCGUGCCUCUCUGCCACGGGCGGCGAGGGAGGGGCCGCGCUACGUCCCCGACAGCCCGCUCUGGGAGCCCUACUUCCACCGCCGUCACGCCGAGCAGCUCGAGGCCACCAACGGCGUCGUGCACUCCGGCAGGCUCAACUCCGAGGGGCGGCGCCGAUGGUGGGGCGUGCCCGGCCGCACGCUGGAGGCCAUCCUCGAGUACAUCGAGGGCGGCAACACGUCGAGGCUGGAGUACCCCUCCCCGCCAUCCUUCUCUCGCCGCUGUGGGAGCUCAUAGACACCGAGGCGCAUGGACCCCGGGGCGUGAUCCUCCUCGUCCGGUCGGUCGACCAGCUCUCCCUACCUCCGUCCCGUCAAGCCGGAGCCCCAGGACGACACGCCUGUCAGCCGGUGCACCCGCAGCUCCGGUGUCUGCGUCGCCGACUCCGCCCCCACCUCGGGCCGCCUUGUCCUCGUCGCGCCCAAACCGGAGCCCAGCCUCCGCCCGGAGUACGAGGAGAUAGCCCGGCGCAGCUUCUCCGACGCGGACGCCCUGCGGUGGGCGCGCGACGACUGCCUCUAGACGGAGAUGACCCGGUAGACUAGGGCCCUGGAGGAGAUCUCCGCCAGGAAGCGUGGGCGCAAGGACGAGCACGGCGUCAUGAUCCUCGACAGCAACGACGACGGGGAUGCCGCCGGACCGUCCAACCCGCCGCGCCAACCGGGGGAGGGUUGCAACAGGGACGUCGGCCACGACGGAGGCAGCGACGACGACGGCGGCGACUACAAGCGAUUCUACAGCCUCCUCGGCAUGUAGAACUACAAGGUCCGCGGCCGGCGAGGAGCGGCGAGGCGAGCGAGACGGCGGGUGAGCCUAGUACUGUGUUUUUUUGUAAAAUACUUUAAAUAUGUAUGAGCAGGCGUGUUUGUGCCGUGUUUGGUUGAAUUUGGAUUGAAGUCGCCGAAAUAUGCAUGAACUCGCCGUGUUUGCGCCGUUCAAAAAAAUCCCGUGGGUGUUGCGACUGGGUGGCAUCACGCCCCCAGCGCGCGUUUUGCGCCGGUGCGCCCCCAGGGGCAAUUUUUAGCGCCUCCUGGGGGGCAACGACUAGAGAUGCUCUUAGUUCCAUUCAAAUCAUGCAAGUUAGAGUCCAAAACAAAGGCAAAAGUGUUUGGAAAAGUAGAUACAUUGGAGACGUAUCACAGCCCCUUACGGAAUAGCACAUAAACAAACUAGGGUUUCAGCUUUUGUCACUCUAGCAACCCAUCAUCUAAUUACUACUCCAUAAUGCCUUCCGUAGCCCAAAUAUGGUGAUGUGUUAUGUAGUCGAUGUUCACACGACACCACUACGGGAAACAACAACAUACAUAUCAUCAAAAUAUCGAACGAAUACCACAUUCGCAUGAUUACUUAUGACAAGACUUCUCCUAUGUCCUCAAGAACAAAAGUUACUACUCACAAAUCAUAUUCGUGUCCAAGAUCAGAGGGUUAUUGAAUAGUAUUAAGGAUAUGAACAUAUAAUAUUUCACUAAAUAAACCGUCUAGAACUAACUACAAGAUGUAAUCAACACUACUAGUCACCCACAUGUAUCAAUCUGUGGUUUUGAGACAAAGAUUGAAUACAACAUAUCAAAAAGGGUUUGAGAUGAGAUUGUACUGGUGAAGAUGUUAAUGAAGAUUAGUCCUCCCAUGAUGAGAGAGUUGUUGGUGAUGUCGAUGGCUUCGAUUUCCCCUACCGGAGGUAAGUAUCCCCGGUGAAAUCACUCCGCCGGAGAGCAAAAGUGCUUCUGCCCAGGUUACGCCUCGAGACGGCGGCGCUUCUCCCAAAAGUCGUCUCCUUAUUUUUUUUUUCUAGGCCAAAUGAAUUCUUAUAGUAGAAGACGAGCCUCAAAGGAUGGCCAGGGGCCCCACUCACUACCAGGGCACGCCUGGGUGCCUCGUGGGCACCUGGUGGCCCCCUCUGGUAUUUCUUUUCUCCAGUAUCUUUCAUAUAUUCCAAAAUAAUUCUUCGUGAAAUUUCAGCUCAUUUAGAGUUGUGCAGAAUAGGUAUAUCUGAUGUAGCUUUUUGAGGUCCAGAAUUUCAGGUGCCGGCAAUCUCCCUCUUCAUAUAAAUCUUGCAAAUUAAGAGAGAAAAUUCAUUAGAAUUGUACCACAAAGUAUUAUAUUGAUAAAAAACAUCAUAAAUAACAAUAGGUAAACAUUAUGAAAAAUGGACGUAUAAACUCCCCCAAGCUUAGACCUCCAUUGGUCUCAAGCAAUAGCCGAUAUCGAUAAACAUGACCACAUGUUUAGAGAGAGAUGUGUCGCUAAAAACGAAAUGCAGACAUAGUAACAUCAUGAUCAAUAUCAUACCAGCAAUACAUUGUAUCAUAAAACUUCUCAUGAGAAAGUAACAAUUCAUCACAACAACGAAGCAUAAGGCAUAAACUUUCUGGAAGACUAACAAACUAUGUUCUAAUUAAGUCAAUAAUGCAAUUACUAUUCAUCAUAUUUUCAGGAAGGGUCUCAUGUAAGAGCUUUUGUUUUGCAAGUCCACAUAUUCAAACUAUCAUUUAGUCUUCUAUGGCUGCUGACACUCACGGCAUAUAUAUGGAGCAAAAGUUCCAGUCAGACACAUAGAAAGAUAGGGGCUUAUAGUUUCGCCUCCUAACUCAUUUACCUCAAGGUUAAUGUCAACAAUAAUAAAAAAUGACCAUGUACAUCUAACUGGACAUAUAUGCCUAUAUCUUUCCUCACCACAUGAUGCUUGCAAAAAAAGAAAAAGGAAUAGAGGAGAACACUAUUGACUCUUGCAUGAAGACUAAAUACAUAAGAUGUAAAAGAUUGGCCCGUCGCGGAGGGAAACAAAGGUUGUCAUGCGCUUUUUGGGUUUUGGAUGUGCAAGCUUCUAAUGUAAAGGAACGUCACUUUAUAUUGCCCCUUGUGAUAGCAAACAUUAUUAUGUAGUCCGUCGCUUUUAUUUUUUUACCAUCACAAGAUCGUACAAAGCUUAUUUUCUCUUACAAUAAAAGAUCAUACAUAUUUAGAAACAAUUUUACUGCUUUAUGCACCGAUGACAACUUACUUGAAGGAUCUUACUCAAUCCAUAGGUAGAUAUAGUGGACUCCCAUGACAUGCAACUUGAGUUAAGGAUUUUGGAUGUACAAGUAGUAUCUCUACUUGGUACGGAUUUUUGGCUAGCAAACAUAUUGAGCAAACACCAGAUGUUGGAGCAUUUAUAACAAUAUAAUUUCUAUCUGAUUAUAAGCAAUCAUAACUCAUUACGUUGUCUUUCUUGUCCGACGUCAACAAUUUGUAAUGGAAUACUUAAUGAGGGCUCACAAUCGUAAAAGAUGUCCAAGAUAAUAUAUUUAUAACUGAAUCUUCUCUUCUUUUAUUAACUUCUUCAUGACUUGUAUCAUUAACCAAUACUAUGUUUGUUAACUUUUUAAAAAGUUUACCACUUAUACUUUUCUUUAUGUAAAGUCAUUACUUUUCAUGGGAUUAGCAUAUAUAUGAUAUUUUCAAUAUGUACCUCAAGGAUACAAUAAAACUGUGAUCCUAGUAGCCCCCGAGACUCUGAACAAUUUGCAAAACCAAACCGAGGAUCUAAUUCUCGCUUUGGAGCAUACUUUACGAAAGAACACGGUAAAGUAGCUAGUCUUCUCGAAAACGGUAUUGCGCUUUAAAUUUCCUGCAUUGAAUCGUCAAUGCAGUAGCCUCGAGACUGAGGUUGGGCAACAAGUCCGACCUGAGGAUCGCAUCUCCUUUGGCACAGUUCGCUGAGAACACGUAGCUAGCGAAUUUGACAUUUUGGGGCUGCUCAAGCAACCUGCUGCUGUUUAUCUUCAGUGAUAUAAUAAGAUAACAGGGUGCUCUUAAGGAAUUAAGGAUAUUGCCCAUCCUCAGUUCUUUCAUGCGACUCACGCUUUGUGGAAACCCUUGGCGCUCAUCAGUAACAAAAAGUUGUGCGGUUCCGAAAUCUGAAACUUUUGAAGCAGAUGAAUUAACGUGACUUGCAUGGAUUCGAGUGUCUCUAGAAGCCUCAGUUUUUCUGUCCCAUUUGGAAGGCUUGUAAUUAAAAGCGUUCCCAAGGCUCAGAUGUUUUAGAAGCAGAAGGUUGUCUAUUUUAUUUUAGAUGAUCAUCCAAGUGGGCACAUUCUUCAACAUCUAGAGAUUAGGAUUCUCAGCAUGUAGACACUUGCGGCCAUGCUAACAAGAGCAAAUGGUUGGCCUUCACUUCUCAUCAGAAUUUCCUUUUCUCCAUGUAAACUGAAGCUUUCUUCAAGAACAAUCGUUUCGAGUGCUGUUUCUUAGUUACCUGGUCUUCUUACUUUUUGCACAUAGCCCUUGCUAGAGUUGCAAGCGUUAAAUACUGACUGCAUAGUGGUAGUCACCAUUACUCUGCUACUUGCACCAAAAUUCAAAUUCCAUGAUACUCCAGUGAUCUGUUUCCAUAUCGUGUCGAUUACAAUGAAAUACCUGAAACAUAUAUCAGGAAAUGAUUAUUUUAAGCUAGGAUCAUGGGUUCAGUGAGCAGUCAAAAUUUAGCAUGUUGUAGCAGAAUUUGUGGGGAGGCGUGUAGAGUUAAUUAAACUUACCUCUUGUUAUGCAAGUGCUCUCUGAUAUCCGCAGCAAGCAAGUGUGACAUAGGAGCCAUCAGACACCAGCCUACCAAGUUGGUGCUCCCUUUCAUUUAUUUUACGAGAUUAUCCUUCGUUAAGAUGACCACUUUAUAGAGGAACCAAUCAAAAAAACUUGAGCAGAACUUUAGUUUUUCAAAUGUGUUUUCUACAAGAAGUCCAGCGUUAAUAAGACCCGCACACACUAAGAAAAGACAAGGAGUCAAUCAUGAUCGUAACGAGUCUGGUUCGUUAGUUAAGUUGAUCGACAUGAACCGACGUACUAAAUCAAACAAAGCGGUCCACUUAUCUAAACUAAGGCUCGCCGAAACUAGUCACUCAACGGACUUGUCACUGAUAGAUAUGGUAUUAGCAUCAACCUCCUUCCGUUGCACAAUAUCAUAACAGUUCAGGUAUUGUAAGGCCAAUGGCUCAUCUCCUAGUCAGGUAUCCUACCAGAAUCUCAUAAUACGACCAUCACCCACUCUAAAACCGCCUCUACUAAAAAAAUGCAGUCUAUACAUUCAUCAAGACCUUCCAAAAUGGUGAGUUCAAGAUCUGUGCCGUUGCUCAAGAUGAUGUCUUGGAGUGGAGGUAUUUAUUGUGUAGCAACUCUUGCCACACCCCCUCCUUCACUAAGUAACAUAUAUAGCCAUUUCCUAAGAAUAUCCCACCCCCUUGGUCUUUUGUCCUAGAAAGAAUAUCCCAGUUCUCCGAGCGAUAUUUCCUUCUAUAUUCAUUGCACUGCCGGAAGAAUUUGGAUUAGUAGUAAUCCAGUCUUUUGUGUGCCCCUUUUGAUACUUUAAAAAAUUAGAGCAUCAAUAUAUUUAGGCUGGUGAGCACAGAGUUGACUAGGAGCAGACAUCCUCCAUAGGUCAUAAGUUUUGUUUUUUCAAAGAACUGAGCUAUUUUUCAAACCAGUCUUACUGUUCACUAGUAGGGCAGAAGUGCGGCGUGAUGCCGCUCCCGUGGAAGUUCCCGCUGUUGGUAUUAUUUUUUCAACCACUUAAUACUGGUACAUGUCAUGAAUCACAAACACAUAAGACACCAAAAGCCUAAAAAAAUCAAGAUCUUUAUACAAAUCUUGAACAGUAAGACCAUUAUGAACGCUCGUCGGUGCUUUUGGUUCUUCUAGAUUCUGCAUACAAAUCUUGAACAGUUGGACAUCGGACAAUCGAUUUGACAGUACAAACUAUUAACAAGAAUACAAAAAUAUUCAGAUAAUUUCUUAUUGCUUAGUCAAAGCUAAACCCCAACUAUAGCAAGGUUCAGGGUACGGUGGCAGAGUUUAAAAUUCAAAUGCAAGGUAAACACAACACAACAAGAUACAAACCUAUCUCGGGUCCAAGGCUCAAGAGCCACAGAUGCACACGAUACAAACCCGAAGGGGGCCUUGGCUAAUAAGACGAAACACACACGCACAAACACUAAACCGAGAAAGACCACAAUAGCGACGACGAACAUCAGCCUCCAUCUCUAUGACGCUCCUCCUUGUGUCAAAUAAUGAAGGCAAAGUUGUCGAAUGAGAGGAGCAUCAAGGAUAUGACGAUGAAGAUCCCUUGGUCGGAGGCCUUGUGUUCGAUGAAGAUCC